RNAcentral lists this long non-coding RNA (56583 nucleotides) under Aquilegia coerulea. Its description in RNAcentral is "long non-coding RNA (ACOE_LNC001893)". Lineage: Eukaryota; Viridiplantae; Streptophyta; Magnoliopsida; Ranunculales; Ranunculaceae. The record is from RNAcentral.
UUUUUUUUUUUUUUUUUUUUUUUUGUCGAUAAAACAAAAUUCAUUAUUGGAAAAAGAAUACAGCUCCUAUUGAUUUACAUCAUGGACUGUCCCUACUAACUUAAAAGAAUACAACUACAAUAAAAUCACCCCACUACAAUAAGAUGACCCGUCCAUAUAUUAGUUUUUCAUGAAUUAUAUUUGUGUAAGUGAAGAAGGUGAUAAACGUGGGGUAUUUUAGGUCGUUUAUGUUAAAAUACAACUCAAGUUUAAGUUUGACCGGGUCAACUAACCGUUGACCAAUGUAUGUUACAAAUUUGUAGGGUCUCACUAAUUAAGUUAAAAUUUGUGGGGUAAGUCUAAUAACAUUGAUAAAUCUGUGGGGUAAGUCUAAUUUGCCGUAAAAAUAAAUAAAUAGAAAGGAAUCAGGCAAUGGAAUUCCUGCUUGCUAAAAAAAAAAAAAAAAAUGGAAAGAAAUGGCAAUCAAUUUCCUCUAUCUCCAUUGUCAUCAAAGCCCAAAAGACUUCUACAUCAACCUUCAAGUCUGAGGCGUGGCCUAGAGACUGAAGAUAGGUCAGGUUGAAUCCAAACAUGAAUUAAGUCCAACAAGGUGGAUCCAAAAAUGUGCGAAACACAGUAAUGCCAACAAAUUGUUAAUUAGUUUUGAAGUAAAAAAUGUGUUACUAAAAAACUUUCUUCUUAGCUCGUUCCAGCAUACUCUGAAGAACUUUGGUGAUCAGAUUGAUUAAUCCUUGACGACCAGAUUGAUUGAUUUUCAUCAACUUUAUCUAGUAUUUUUAUUUCUUCUCUCAUCUCUUUCAUUCCUUCUCCUUCUUUCUUUCUUUGGUUUGUUAUUCUCUAAUUUUGUUCAGCUUUAUUAUAAUCAAUUUUCAAAAUUUUACUCUUUUCCAUCUCAGUUUUCUUCAGGGAUUAGGCCUAAACUAAAGGGUGAUGGCAUCAACAUCCGAUUCCAAGGAUAGGCUGCUCCUAAAUGACAAUUAUGAAGAUCUAGAGUCGCUCUUCAAUGAGAAACUGAUUCUCCCUGGUUCCACAAAGCCUAAACCUCUUUUGGAUAUCCCAUCUAUCUCUACCCAACAAUUUAGUAAUGUUGUGUUCGGUAAAAUUAUCGUGGCAACAUAUGUUCCUGAUACUGUUAUUCCAAAACACCUUCAGCAACAAUGGAAACUCCCACAUGAAAUUCAUCCUAUUCCAGUGGGAAAGGAAUUUAUAAGUUCGACUUGGAUUCCAAAGAGGAGAAACAAUUUAUCCUAUCAAAAGGACCAUGGGUGGUCGGCGGAUAUUUUAUGACAUUUAGCUCUUUGAAGCAAGACACUACGGUUGAGAAAUUAAAUUUCCACGAUUUGGCAGUUUGGGUUCAAAUAUAUGGCCUUCCAUUGGAAAGAUACAACUGGGAGAAUGGUUUCAACCUUGGUAGAAGAAUUGGCAAACCUAUUGAGGUUGACGAAUCUACACAUUUCGGAGAAUUUGGUUCCAUUUUAAGAGUCAAACUCAUUAGCGACGUGAGAUUGUCUCUCCCAAAUGGAAUUGAAUAUUUGGAUGGUCAGAACAAAUAGAAGAUUUUCCCAAUACGAAUCGAAAAAUUGCAUUUGUUUUGUUUUAGCUGUGGGAAACUAGGACAUGAAAAGAAAUUGUGUGGGGAUUGAUUUGGCAUGAGUUCUAGUGAAACUAAUCUCGUUAAAAGAAGAUACUUAAUUUCUUUGAAAGGUUUCACUCCAAGUUCGUGCGUUCAUCUGUUUCAAUGGUUUCUGGAUCAUCAUCAAAUGCCAUCAUCGCAGGAAGAACCGCCGGACAAUAAUGACCACUCCACUGAUGUAUCACAUGAUUCUGUUUCACAAAUGCAAGUUGAUAACUCUACGACCGUUGAUCAAACAAAAGGAAAUCCUUCAUCAUCAUCGUGCUUAUCAAGUAAGUCUACUGAUCAACCAGUAUCAUCUCAUUCUUCUAAACAAUCAGAUGGGCCCACCUAUACUGUUUCUACCCUAGCUACCUUUGAGAACAAAAACCCCAAAAUGCCCCCCUUAAACUCAUCCAUAUCUUCACUUGCCUCUUCCUCAGUCAAGCAUGACCAACAAGUGUUGCCUGAAACUCCAAAAGCCCCAAAAUCCGACCUCCAAAAAUCUUCUCAAAACCCUAAAAAUCAAGAUGUCAAAAAAUCUCUUUCAUUACCAUCAUCAUCGUUACUUGUUCUCCCCUCCAUUCAAUUAACCAAAAACCCAUUUCCCCGGAUUUGGUUCCAUCAACCGAUGUUUCAAUCAUUACAACCACAUCAAAACUCUCACCUUCAAAGGAUAAAUCCCAACUUAAGAUCACCAACAGAGAUUCCCCUACAUCUGUCGAAAAUGCAAAAUCAAAAUUAUACGCGCCAUCCUCUCCAAAUCCCCUCACCAUAUCCCAAAGUCCGUCUCCAAUUAUCCAACCUUCAUCUACUAAACAGCCAUCAAAUCAAUUACACCAAGUGUACAUUUCUCAAAAAAAUAAUUCAAAACUAUCCACCUUAAAUCCUAGCCCUAAUCCCAUUCAACUUCUCCAUUCAAACCUACUAAAAAGAUAUAAACAGUCCAACAUGCAGAACAACUCUUCCUCCAACUCUGUUCGCCCAUCUGAGAACAACAUUGAUAGAGUGAUAGUGGUAAAUUAUGGUCCUCCUAGUCCAAGAAGGCCAGCUAUCAAACGCAAUAGAGAUGAUGAAGACUGCUUAUCUCCCAGGACGCAAAGUGUGAAAAUGAAACGGCAGAAGAAGGAUAAUAACAAUGAGAUUGAUGAGAAUUUUGAAAUAAACUCAGUUGAGAAUGAGGAUGCACAUCUCAUGGAUAGUGAAGGGACUGAAACUGUUGACCCUUCAAGAGAUCAAAUGGAACGAGGGGAGCCUACUCGGAAAAGGAGAGCCUUUGAUGACCAGAUCCCGAAAGUUCAGGUUCAUCUCUAUCUGACUUUGAAUUACAUCUAUUAUUUAUUUUCCUUCAAUCUGCUUCAAAUUGUUCUACUAAACUUCUUAAAUAAUUCUGUUUUGUUCUCGAAUUCUCUUUGGUCAAUAGUUAGUGUUUUUUCUUUCCUGCAAGAUGCAUGUCCUAUCUUGGAAUCUAAAGGGUAGUGGGAAACAAUCCAAACUCACUUACUUAAAGGAUAUGAUUUGGGGUGAUUUAGGUUUUAGUCACCAAACUUCAGUAUAAAUUAGGGUUCACGGAUGGUUUUUUUCUUAAAUAGGGUUCAGAGAUGGUUUUCCAAAAAAACCAUGAAAAACCCAAAAUAUUUUAGAAAUACCAAAAAUUACCCCUGAAAGCUCACGUGACUUGUACGUGGUAAAUCAAAACAUAAAUCAGAGAUUAGUAACUUAAAUCUCCACAUCACCUGCACGUGCAUAUUUUGUUUUAUUUUUUGGAUACAAAUCUCAACAAUUCAACGGUCAGAAUGCUUGCAAAUUCUUAUUCUUCCUUGCUUUCCAUGAUUCCAUCCCUUUAUUUUCUUCACAACAUCAUCUUUGUUUCGCUUAUUACAUUGUGCAUAUUUAUAAACAUUGAUGAUAUCUGCAAAUCUUCUUCCUUCUUCUUCAUCGAAUUCAGUGUUUCAAUCGAUUGUAACGAGUAUUCUUGCCAUAAUUGUUGGACAUCCAGAUCUUUCAAAACCUCUUUAGUUGUCCAGAUCUUUCAAACCUCUUUAGUAGUAAAAGAAGCAGAAACAACAGCAAUACAUAAAGAUGAAGAUGAAGACUUCUUCUCUUUCAGUGACGACGAUAUGGACAAAGCAAAUCUAAGGUGUUCAACGCAUCAAUUACAUUUUUUUUGUAAGAAGAAAUUAAAAUCUCUAAAUUAAAGAAAAUAUCUCAAAUUGAUCGAAUUUGGUAAUUGGUGAUGAUUAAUUACCUUAGGGCUUCUGGAUUGAUCGAAUCUGGUAAUUGGUAAUAUGGAAUCCGAGUAUGUAGAUUAUCUGAAUUUUGAAAUUACCUUAGGGAUUUGGGUGUUAGGCUUCUAUUUCCCUGCUAUAUCACCUUUUUUUUUUUUUUUAUGAACGCACAGAUUAUAACUAGAUAGAUCUCUGCCUUAUCGGAAAAGUUAAUCUCGUGCAACUCACGUGACAUUUUUAUAAGGGUGUUUUGGCCAUUAUUGAAUAUUUUUUGCUUCAAGUAGCGGUUGAUCUCUGAACACUAAUUAAGAAAAACCCAUCUGUGAACCCUAAUUUAUACUGAAGUUUGGUGACUAAUACCUAAAUCACCCUAUGAUUUGGAAGCAUAGUCCUGAGGUAGUAUUUGUCAUGGAAACAAAAGCUUUUCCCUCUCAAAGUCUUAAACAAUUUUCUCUUCCUCAUUUUGUUUUUGAGUCUGUUGUAGGUUUAAAAGGUGGUUUGUGGCUUCUUUGGAGUAACAAUGUCACCUUAACUAUACUACAUCACAGUCUGCUCAUUUCAUUCAUGUGUCUAUUGAUCAUCAAAACUCAAACUUUUCUGGGUUUUAUACUUUUAUUCAUGCACCAUAUGUUCCAAAUGAAGGACAGGAUUUCUGGAAUAACCUUAGCCGAAUUGGAGAUGUUGUCACUGGUCCUUGGGUCAUUAUUGGUGAUUAUAAUGAAACUCUUUUUCAAUGGGAGAAAUGGCCAUACCCUCUAAGGAGAGUACCCCAUCUUCUCGAGCCUUGGAAAAUCUUAUUUCAACUCAUGAUUUAUUUGAUAUAGGUUUUUCUGGUGUUAACUUCAGCUGGACAAAUGACCAAGUUUUCAACAAAGUAGCCAAGUCCAGAAUUGACAAGGUCUAUGCAAACCAUCAAUGGACAAAUAACCAUCCUCAUGAUGUCUUACAUGUUUAUCCCAUCAUGCACUCAGACCAUAGCCUUGUACAUUUUGAUCCUCACCCCUUGAAUGAAAAAAACCAAAAAGCCUUUCUUCUUUAAAUCUUGCUGGUUAGAACAUCCUAUGUGCUUAGAAGUAAUUAAGAACUCUUGGAAUGAUGUUUGCGAUAUUUGACCUAUUCAAAAUUGUUUUCAAAAAUUAGAAAAUAUUAAAAAAGUUGUUCUUGCAUGGCAUAAAAAUUAUUAUCAAAAACUCAAAAAUGAUAUUGCUUACUUUUCCAAUAUUUUAUCUUAUCUCCAGUCACAACCACCAACUGAAUUUUUGGUUGAAGCUGACAAAGAUCUUCAUGCCAAAAUUCAGGAGAUGAACUCUAUAGAGGAAAGCAAUUGGUGGGAUAAGUCUAGAGAAUUUUUUCUUAAAUGUGGGGACCAUAAUACUAGUUUUUUUUCAUAGGUCGAUUGUUUGUAGAAGAAAUUCAAAUCGCAUAUUUUGUUUACAAAAUUUUGGUGAAAACUGGUUACAUACUAGGUCAGAGAUCGGUGAUUUUAUUGUGCAUUACUUUCAUACCAUGUACACUUCUUCUGCUCCUGUGUUACCUUCUCGUGCAUUGCAUAACAUUCAUCAUGCCAUUUCUUCUGAGGAAAAUAUCUCUCUUACUCAAGCUUUUGAUUUGAAUGAAGUCUGCCUUGUUUGAGAUGAAACCUUACAAAGCCCCCGGGAGUGAUGGGUUCACUCCUGGGUUUUCUCAAAAAAAUUGGAAUUUGAUCAAAAAUGAUAUUUUCAAAAUAAUUAAUGAUUUUUUUAAUCACAAUUUAUCCCUUCAAGCUUUAAACCACACAAAUUUAACUUUAAUACCUAAACAACCGCAUCCCUCUCUCUUACAAAAUUUUAGACCCAUCAGCCUUGUAAAUGUCCUUUAUCGAAUUUUAUCCAAAGUUCUUGCAAAUCGAUUAAAAACUGUUUUGCCAAAUAUUAUUUCCCCUUUUCAAACAACUUUUUUGAAAAAGAGAUAGAUCACUGACAAUACAAUCCUAGCUCAUGAAAUUCUUACAAAAGCUCAAAAAAAAAUAAAAAAAAAAUAAAAAAAAAAAAAAAUAGAGUUUAGGGAUGUGUUGCUGUAAAACUUGACAUGCAUAAAGCUUUCGAUCAAGUUGAGUGGUCUUUUGUUUUAAAAAUGUUGAAUGAUUUGGGUUUUGAUAAUACUUGGUGUGAGUGGAUUGAAAAUUCUACUUCUAGUACUUCCUAUUCUGUAAAUCUUAAUGGUCAGCCUCAUGGUUUAAUCCGUCCUUCUAGGGGGCUCCGCCAAGGAGACCCUCUUUUUCCUUUUCUCUUUAUAAUAUGUAUGGAAUACUUGUCUAGGUCUCUCACUAAGCUACAAUCUGAUGGUCUCAUUCAUGGAGUAAAAUUAAAUAGAUUUUAUCCCCCCCCUUUCCCAUUUGUUUUUUGCUGAUGAUAGCUUUUUAUUUUUUAGAGCAAACCUUGUCGAAUGCGGUCAUAUUUUUUAUUGUCUCAGGUUUUUCUCUUCCUUGUUUGGUCAGUCUAUAAACUUUCAAAAAUCAUCUUUGUUUUUCAGCCAAAAUGUCCCAACCAGAUUUCAAAAACUUAUUUCAAAAUUUUUUAAAAUCCCUUUGAAUACUAGAACUUCUUCUUAUAUCUGGGUACUAUUUUAAACCCUGCCAAGCCCCAUGCUACAAAUGCAGGAAAGGUUUUGAAAACUCUCUCAACAACUUUUAAAAAUUAGAGUUUUAAGCUUUUGUCUCAAGCUGGUAGGACAACUUUAAUUAAAAGUGUCUCCUCUGCUAUCCCAAUUUAUGCUAUGCAAACUUAGUUGUUUUCAAAAAGGGAUUGCGAAAACUUGGAUCAGUAGAAUAGAAAUUUUUGGUGGAGUCCUGAUAGUUCCAAGAAACUUCAUUUGCUUAACUGGGAUUGUAUUUGCAAAAAAUAAGAAGGUUAGUGGUCUGGGUAUCAAAAAAUCUUUCUUCCAAAACAAAGCCUUAAUUUCCAAACUGUGCUGGUGUAUCCUUACUCAGCCUGAUGAGUUAUGGGUUCAAAUUUUAAAGAAAAAAUAUUUUAAAAAUUGUUCUUUUCUAACUUCAAAAGCCCCAGCAAAUUCUUCCAGGUUUUGGAAAAAUCUAGUAAGAAUUAAGAAUCAAGUUAAGUUUAAUUUUUGUCUUAGAGUUGAUCCUGGUUCUUCCAUUGACAUUUGGAAAGAUCUUUGGAUACAUACUCUUCCCCUUAAAAAACCUUUCGGUCAUGCACCAAACUAUGCUCCUCUUUUGGUUUCUGAUCUUUUUGAUGAUGUCUCUGUCUCUUGGAACUUAUCUGUUUUAAAUGCUUGGUUUCAGCCUCAUGAAGUCUCAAAAAUUUUAAAAAUUAAAUUGUCCAGGUCUUUAACUUCUGACGCCUAGGUUUGGCUAUCAGAAAAUAAUAGUACCUUUUUAGUUAAGUCGGCUUACACUUGGUUUCAUGCUCAAGUUAACUCUGUAGUUCCCCCCCCCCCCCCCCCUUUCUUCCUCUAUGUGGUCUUGUCUUUGGAAGUUAGAAGUCCCUCAUUGAAUACAGCUCUUCAUGUGGAAAUGUAUGCAUAAUUGCAUUCCUACGAAAAGCCUGUUGUGUUCUAGAAAUGUUGUAGACAAUAACCUUUGUCUUAGAUGUCAUUUGCAUCCUGAAACACUUAGUCAUGCUUUAUUUUCAUGUAGUACUAUGAUCUCUGAUGUUUGGUUUGCCAGUCACUUAGUUCUAAGAUUUUCAAAGUGGCCUCAAAAUUUUACUUGCAUUGAUGUUUUCUGGCACUUGCACUCCAUGUUUUCUUUUAAGAACGAUUUUAAAUCUUGUAUUUCUUUUGUUGCUUCUAUUGCAUACUUUAUUUCGACAAAUAGGAAUAAGGUUGUUUUCAAAAACAAAAAUCCCAAACCAUCAUCUCAGAGUAUUUUACUUACAGCACAUAGAUCACCCAUUCCACAACCACAACCAUCACCUUCUACCCAAUCUUAUGACAUCAAAAACUCUCUUUUUCUCAUGGUCACUGAUGGUUCUUAUGAACCUUCUUCUCACACAGCUGGAGGUGGUUUUGUCUAUGGCCAAUAUGCUCAUAUUCCAUCUUUUGCAGGAAGCAAUCGACUUACUGCAGCAUCAGCCGAAGAGGCGGAGGGGUUAGCUAUCAAGGUCGGCUUAAGUUGUGCAGCUAAGGAACAGGUUCAGUGCCUAGUAGUCUUGUUAGAUUGUCUGAGUCUAGUCAACCAGCUUAAUGGUGCCGAUACAGUCUUUUGUUGGGAGUAUGAACAAGGACGGAGCUAUGUUGGCACAUAAUGGGGCACGUGCCCCAGUGAUUUUUGGAAAAAAAAAAUUAGUAGAUUUAUAUGUUACUCAUGGAGUCAUGGCCUACUAUAAGCAGAUCAUUAGUGCCCCACUGAUUCAAUAGAAUUGGGCUUUGCACAGUCGAUUAGACUGUUGCCUAAUUGGAUCAAUCUGAAAUCAAAUACUCUCUUUCUAUAAUUGUAUCAAAGUGAAAUCAAAUACUCUCUUUCUAUCUUCUUCAUUUUCUUAAAAGCACUAGGUUUUAGUUUCAUACCAUCCCACCCAACUUAACAAUUAAACAACUAGUUACUCAAUCUCAAUUCUCAAAAAUUGUUUCUUGAUCCUUUCCCCAAUUUCUUAAUACAAAGACAAAAUUAUAGAUAUAUAAUUGCGAUUGAAAAUGUAUUUUGAAGAAUUUUCUUUGUCAAUAUAUUUGGGAUCUUGUGAAACUUUUAUGUAAAUGUCAAAAUCUUUGCUUAUUUAAAAUGUUGCAUUACUAGUUAAAAAAAUUUAUAUUUUUUAUUAAUUUAUUAAAUUACAACGUGUAGAAAAAAAAAUCCCCACUUCUUCGAGUGCCCCACUCAAAAAUAAUUUUUGGCUCUGUCCUUGAGUAUGAAGGUCUCAUUGCAGACAUAAAGGGCUUGAAUUAGCUUCUCAAUUCACUUUUUGCAGUUUUGCGCAUGUGCCUAGAGAGCUAGUUAAUUGUGCUCAUAUAUUAGCAAAUGAAGGCAGGAUGUUGUUGUGUAUUGGCUCGCAAUGCGCAAGAUCAUAGCUUAUAUUAAGUAAGGUCUAUAGGAUCAUAUCUUAUGUUUGUUUCUAGAAACAAUGUAGGUAGGAAUUCUACUCCCAUAAGUACUUGGUAUUCUAAUUGGUAUUGUUAUCCAAUUUGGAUCCUUGUAUGGAUUAGGAACUCUUGGGUAUUAUAUAUACUCAACUAGUUGGCUAUUGUAAAGGGGUGGUAAAAAGAGAGAGUGAAUCAAAGGUGAAAGCAUUACUAGAUAGGGAGAGACAAAUUUAUGAGAGUUUUCAUAAUAGGGUUUCUCAGGUUCUAGUGUGUGAGAGAAAGAGAGAAAGAAUUAUAGAUUUGUAAUUAGGUUGUUUCUUUUCUCUGAUUAAUAAAAUCUUCUUGAUCGGUUACCGGGUGGAGUAGGCAGGUUUUGCCGAACCACGUUAAUAUUGGUGUUAUUGUGUGUGAUUGUGUUUUUCGAUUACUUUCUCUGUUAUUUGUUAUUAUCUAGAUUAUCGGUAUUACAACCAAUCCUUGGGUUAAAGCUUCCGUUGCACAACAGAUGUAUGGUCCUUAUACUGUCAAACAAGUCUGUAAAUGCCAAUAUGGCAUCUCUUAUCUUCCUUUUAGGGUCCUUAAUGCUUUCAGAGAGAAGAAGCAGAUCGAUGAUGUGUAUAAACUGUUAUCUUUUGUUUAAUGCAAAGUAGUUUAGAAAAAAAAAAAAAAUAAUUAUUAAUUAAAAUAAAAAUAAUUAUGUGCUGACUAAUGACAAUCAUAGUCCCACGUGCUUAGACGAUCUUCAUCUUGUAGUGGAAUAUUCUCUCUCUUUAUCCAGUUCAUAUAACAACCUCUUUCAAUUUGUGUACUCUCUGGUUCCAUACAAAUUUCCGAAUUAUACAGAAAAGAGCAAUAUAAAAACAUACUUCAAAAGAAAGUAUAAUAAAUCUCAAUAUAAUGACAGGCACAAUUCAUCACUCAUAACAACAACAAUCUUUACUGUAGUAGUCAGUAGAUGAAAGAGCAAUGACUCGAUCAGUUACAUGUCACAACACUUUCCAUCAUCCGAUCCCAAAAGCAUUUAAGAACACCAGACUUUACAUAUAUAAAAGAUGAACCAUACACAAACUCUUUAUCUUGAUUGGCAUUUCACAUGGGAUAUGAUGAACAACGUAUAAACUGGUCUAUCUCUAGCUAACCAAAUUUAAAUUGCUUUUCUUUAAUCCAUCAUGCCUUCUUUGUGGCCACUAAUAAUAAUAACUGUCUACAUAUAAGGAGAAUGAUGUACGUAUUUUCUUACUUUAGAGUUUAGAUGGUCUUUAUUUGGUACCAUAAACCAUGUACAUAUAUGCAAGACUCAUUCCCAUCUUAAAUGGUUCUUAAUGAAACACAUCUAUUAGUUUCUUAUACAAGACUCAUGGAAAUACUUCAUACAAAAUUUAAUGUAUACAGAACCAUUAUACAUUUUUAGAUGUUCAUGUGGUCCUUUGGAAAAGAGCAUGCAACCAUUAUACAAAAUUUGACUGUUCACUUUCCAAUUUCAACAACGUUUCGAAAUUUAAAUGGAUCCGAUUAUAUUUUUCAUACUACGUACGUAGAUGAAGUAUAUUAAUUUUGGAAUUAAAUUUAAGCUUAGAUGAAGUUAACCAAAAGAAAGAGAUUAAUUAAGAGCUUUGUUGUUAAUUAAUGAGUUUAUGAGUGUUUCUUCUCUACACACAAACGACACUUUGUCCAUUAAAGAGACGUAUUUCGUCCCAAGUAUUAUCACGUGAUAUAUUUAUGAAGAUUUCAGAAAUCCUGAUUACCUGCUGCUGAUUACAUUUUAUUAUUUAACUCUGACUUUGAUCAACGUUCAUUAGUUUUUCUUAAUUGCUUAUAAAUAUAGACAAAACAUACAUGUUUAAUUAAUAGAGUUGGGACAUCGAAGUUUGGUGGAACAUAAAGUAUAAUAAGAGAACAAGAAAAGUGACCGAGUGAAAGCUGGAAACAUAAGCGAAGUGCUUGGUAACAAGAAAGCCUUUAAAACAGCCGAGAAGAUCUUAAAACCUGUGUUCUGUUGUGUUCUGUUCUGUUCUAAGAAGUAAGAACUACUCUUUCUUUCUCUCUCUCUCUCUCUCUUUCUCGAACCGCCCUUAUUACCCUCUCAUCUCCUUGGCAUGUAAAAGCUGACAGCAUACCCCCCCUGCCCCCUCUUUAAUUACUACUCUCUUUAUCUCUCUCUUUAUCACCAUUAAUCUCUUCUUUUUAUCUUCUUUUAUUUACAGAUUUCAUAGACAACGUAUAUAGUUUGGCUAGAAGAAAAGAAGACAGAUAUUAGGGUACUUUUUUUUUUUUUUUUUUUCUCAAGAACAAAACCAACAAGAGAUAAAAAGAAAAAGAAAUAGAGAAUGGUGACUGAGAUGGUGGAUCUAGAAUCCCAAACUCAGUCACAUGAUCAAAAAGCUCCAGAUAUUUUCAAGAAAGCAAAUCGUCCUGUAACUCUUAAGGUAAGAUUUACUUCUAUUUAAUGGUUAAUCUGAUGAUGAUGAUGAUGAUCGCAUGCAUGGGUUUUUUUGUGUUUUUUUUCUUAUAUAUAUAUAUAAGACAUAAUAAAACCCUAGCUUUUUAUAAAGAGACAAAAAGAAUAUUUGAGAUAUGUGGUUUGUCACUUUCUGUCUUAUAAUACCUUUUAUGUUAGAUUUUCAGAUAAUUGUUGAUGCAAGAUUAAAAGAAUAUAUGAAGAAAAAAAUUGUUUUUUUUAUGGUGUCUCUGUCACCUCUUUUCAUCUUGUUAUUUUUAGAUUUCUAUUAUUGAUAAUAAUAUGUUAUUUGGAAUUCUUUUCACCUCUUUUUAUUAAUUUAUUUAUUUAAUAAAAGUGAUCAUCUUUGAUUGUGUAGUACUGUUCAAUUAAUAAGAAAAGCUGUACUAUGUUUGAAUCCAAAACAAGAAUCAAAUAAAUUCAGUUUCAUGAUUUACGCAGCUUCCCUUAAUCUAUCUGUAAAUCUAGUUUCAUACAUUCCAGAUUAUGGUGGAACUAUACUAGUUGAAUUAGUUCAUGGGUGCCAGAAUUCUCUAAUACCUUAAUUUAAUUAGGUCAUCAUAUUUUUGUUAUCGUGAACCUUAAUAGGCUAUAGUUAAAAAGGAUCCUUUUAUGCUAAAAUCAUUAUAUAUAUGUUUGAUUGUUAAUGCGCAGUUUGAAGAUGUUGUCUACAAAGUUGAAAUUAAGAAGGAAGGAUGCCUUGGUGGAAAAGGCUCAAAAUCUACAGAGAGAUCAAUCUUGAAGGGAAUCACUGGUUCAGUAUUACCUGGAGAGAUGUUAGCCAUGUUAGGUCCCUCUGGAAGUGGGAAAACAACUCUGCUAACAGCAUUAGGUGGUCGACUUGGUGGAAAGCUUGAAGGGAGCGUUAUGUACAAUGGAAAGCCCUUUUCAAAUGCAAUGAAGAGAAACAUGGGCUUUGUUACACAGGAUGAUGUACUUUAUCCCCAUCUUACAGUCACUGAAACAUUAUUCUUCACUGCCCUUCUACGAUUACCCAACACUCUUACCAACCAAGAGAAGGCUAUGCACGCAGAAGAAGUUAUAUCACAACUUGGUCUUACUAAAUGCAAGGACAGCAUUAUUGGUGGCCCAUUUGAAAGAGGAAUUUCGGGGGGAGAAAGAAAGAGGGUUAGUAUUGGACAAGAAAUGUUAAUCAACCCAAGUUUAUUGCUUCUUGAUGAACCAACCUCGGGUCUGGAUUCUACUACGGCUCAGAGAAUUGUGUCUACAUUGUGGGAGCUUGCCAGCGGUGGAAGAACAGUGGUGAUGACUAUACACCAGCCCUCAAGUAGACUGUUCUACAUGUUUCAUAAGGUGUUGCUGCUUUCAGAUGGUAACCCUUUGUACUUAGGCAAAGGAGACGGUGUCAUGGACUACUUUUCCAGCAUUGGUUAUUCACCCUUAGUUGCUAUGAACCCUGCAGAUUUCCUUUUGGAUCUUUCAAAUGGUAAGAUAUUUCAUCAUUUUUCGGUAUACUGUAUAUGGCAUGCUUUCGUUAUGACUUCAUCUAGAAACCAGAAAUUAAUAUUGUUAAGUUAGUAAAACAAUGUCUCAUGUCAACUGCUACUUUCAUCAAUAUAAAACGUUAUUAAUGUCUACAGGUGUCUCUUCGGGUGAAUCGGAGGAGGACAACGUGUCUGUGAAGCAAGACCUAGCCUCUGCCUACAAGAGCAAUCUUGCUGACAGAUUGAAGGGAGAAGUUAAGGAAAUUGAUAGUCAAGUUACAGAUAUCGUAGAUGAUAAGCAAUUUGCAAGAUGGAGCACAACUUGGUGGCAGCAGUUUACGGUGUUGCUUAAAAGAGGUGUUAAAGAACGCAAACAUGAAUCGUUUUCAGGCCUCAAGAUUGGUCAAGUCGUAGUUGUUGCUUUCCUAGCAGGACUUUUAUGGUGGCAAUCUAAAAUGUCGAACUUACAAGAUCAGGUAUAUCCCUCUUUGUGCUGUGUCACUUUUUGUUAUUAUAGAUGAGACUCCACAGCAGAGUUAGUUUAAUUACUACCAGUCAUUUUCAGUUUGAUUCCCUACAAUGACAAACUCAAAAUUUAACUGGUUUAAUUAACGAUGAUCUGUUUCAUUGUUGACUGUAGGUCGGGCUGCUUUUCUUUUACUCUGGAUUUUGGGGCUUCUUCCCUUUAUUCCAAGCAAUCUUCACCUUCCCUCAAGAACGUAUGAUGCUUACAAAGGAGAGAUCCUCAGGGAUGUAUAGGCUCUCAUCCUAUUUUAUGUCCAGGGUUAUAGGCGACCUUCCCAUGGAGCUUGUUCUCCCUACCAUAUUUGUAAUAAUAACCUACUUCAUGGCCGGCCUGAAGCCUACUCCUGGACACUUUUUCGAGACAUUGUUUGUUCUUCUGUUAAGCGUAAUGGUUGCACAAGGUCUAGGGCUUGCUCUUGGUGCACUGGUGAUGGAUCUCAAAGCUGCAACAACACUUGGAUCAGUAAUUAUGCUCACGUUCCUUCUUGCAGGUGGUUACUAUGUGCAACACGUUCCAGGCUUUAUAGCAUGGACUAAAUAUAUCUCGCUUAGCCAUUACACCUUCAAGCUACUGUUGAUGGCACAGUAUAGUUCCUAUGAAACUUACCCUUGUGGCCCAAAUCUCAGUUGCCCAGUAGAGAGCUUUCCUAUGAUUAAAAUGGUCGGUCUGGACCAUAAGGGACUUGGUCUAAUGGCUUUGUUCAUAAUGCUUGUUGGCUACAGGCUCAUUGCCUAUCUUGCUCUUAUGAGGGUCGGAGUACCGCAUUGAAAGAGGUAUUUUACCCAAAUUCAGAUUGUGCAAUGAGAGAGGAUUUUGCUUGGAUCAAAGUUGAAAGAUGAAGAAUCCUCCAAAUGUUGAAUCCUCCAAAUGUUGGGAUUAGAGUGACAAGGACAUGGGCUGUUGUUUACAUAUAUGCUUCUUAACUUGAACAGUCCUGAGAGUUUUUGGUAUCCAUGUUAAAGACAAGAGAAAUACUAUAGAAUGGUUAUAACAUAUAAUUUUCAUAUUGCAUUCGGCUCUGUUUAUUAAAAACUUUCAAGUAUUGAAGAAACACAUUAAUCUCAAUUUCACCUGUGGUUCUAAGAUGGCAUGUCCUUUAAUGUAAACAAAAUUAUCAGCCUUGUAGAAUGUAGAAUUUCAAGCCAGUGUAGAAUGUAGAAUUCCUUGCUUUCCUAUGGAUUCAUUUUCAUCUGUUUGUCCUGAGAGCAAUCCCAAUGGGAGGGCAGUUUGGUGCCCUCCACAUAGGUGCCACAUAAGCAAAACCACCUUCAAAAUCACUCUCUCUCUCUAUGGUAGUCAAAAACCCCUGCGAAAUUGUGUCAAUGGGAAAAUUUGGAAAUGUCAGUUUACAAAAAUUAAAUGGCUUAUAAGACGGAACUUUGAGUUCCGGUUACUAAAUUUUAUAGGUGUUAUAAGACGGAACUUCGAAUUCCUGAAAAGUUAGUCUAUAAGACGGAACUUCAAGUUCCUAAAGUGUAUAAGACGGAACUGUGUGUUCCGAAAAAGUGUUAAACCAGAACACGGUGUUCCGUCUUAUGCAAUUAACAUAUAAAGUGUAUAAGACGGAACUGUGUGUUCCAAAAAAGUGUUAAACCGGAACACGGUGUUCCGUCUUAUGCAAUUAACAUAUAAAGUGUAUAAGACGGAACUGUGUGUUCCAAAAAAGUGUUAAACCGGAACACGGUGUUCCGUCUUAUGCAAUUAAUAUGGCAUUUUGGAUGGCACUCUACUUCCCUCUCAAAUGCAAUUGGAACUUCUAUCCACCGUUGAAUGUUUGACCCACCGUUCCAUUGGUGAAGGAAUUUUAGCUGAGAAGGCGUUUCAUACUACCGCCCUUCUCAAAUGCCCUCCCAUUGGGAUUGCUCUGACAUGACAUGAGGUUACUGCCACUUAACACUUGGCUUUUCAGGUUGUCUAAAUCUGGCGACGGCCCUAAAGAUCCCCCCACAAAACUAUACACAAUUUGUCAAAUAGAGAGAAGUCUUAAAUACUAAUGGACAACAGUCUGUAAACUUUUCUACCACACGAUUUUUAUUUUUCCUGUUAAAUAUUCCACAAGAUUGGAAUUUGAAGCAGACAAAAAGUAGCUCAAUGGUCUAGUUUUUGUGUUGAUGAAAAACAUAGCUCAGUGAGUUGGGUCUUGUUGCUGGAUAUAUAUCCUGUUUGUACACAUCAUUUUGGCCCACUGACUUUGUGGCUAAUUAGGUUUUGGCCUCCUUGAGUUUAUCAUGUAGAACAUUAUUUCAAUGGAAAACUGUCAAAAUCAAACUAAGCAAAGAUUAGAUACACAAAGUCACUAACUUUCCAGUUUCUAGUCUAGCUGUAGAUCUUGAUCAAAUCAACUAACAAUGAAAGAGAAGUUAAUCUUAUUUAUGUUUGAUGUCAAAUCUUUCACCAACCCCUCAACAGGACAUUUAAAAUCCAAUGUCCCAAUCCCACCCAAUCCAUAAAAAAAACAAACAAAACUAAACAAGUAGACCAAACAGUCAAUCUAUAUAUCAGAGGGAAAAAAACUAUAAGAUUGGUUGGUUGGGCUAUUCUCCAUGGGUAACCCACCAAGAAUGGGUCACUGACCAGUGACCAUUCCAUAAAUGGCCCAACAAAUCAUUUAAAACCUAGCUACAAAACACAUAAAGUUUUUGAUUCCACUUCUAUUUGUGUGGUUGCUUGUAGAUGUUUUGAAAAUGCCAAAUGAUUUUUGUUCUCUUAACCCUGUCUUUAGCCAUAUCUAAUCCCUGUAAAAUAAUUGAAAUCAUGGUGUUGGGCCCCUAACUGCUUUAGCCAUGAAUCUGCAGCACUAUACAGUGAUACCAAUUUUUCCUCGUCUUGUCCAUUUUCGCCCGACACCCACACACUUCCUUGCAUUUUAUAUGUCGCGAGGCCAAAUGGAGAGAGCGUAACGCCUUUCCUUCUCAUUCUUUCAACAAGACAUAGCUCUUGUUCAGCACUUGAAUCUGCACAAAAGCCACAUCUUAAAUCCCAAGAACAACUAAAUUGUGAGACAUGGGAAGAUGAAAUGAAGAAUAGGAAAAAAAUAUUACCUUGGAAGGUAGAUGAAAGUGUGUGGAAUGUAAGGAAGCAAGCAGAUAAGUCUUUUACAGUUCUCCCUGUCGGAAUAUGAUAAAUUGGAUACCUAAAAGAUAUAAGAAAGCAAACAUAUGUUACAAAGAGAAAAUUAGUAUCACGACACGUGGAACUAUUGAUCUUAUGAUAUAUAGACAUGGGACCAAAGCUUGAAUUGAAGCAUCUAAAGUCAAUAAUUUGAUCGUGGGGACUCCAAAUUUUCAAGAUGCCCAUCCUCAAUUGCUCACUGACACCAUUUUAACACACUUCUUAGUUGAUCCCACCGUUGCUACUUAUAUCAUUUUGGCCAAAUUCAAUAUUUGACUUGAGAAAGUUGUCUUUUUGUUUAGCAUUUUUAAUGCAAAAGCUAAACAGAUGUAUGAAACGUAAUCAAAUAAGAAGGAUUUAUUUUUGACUUCCUUGGUUCAGAAAAAUUAAGAAUUAAACAGAAAAACCUCACUCCAUAUGUCUUUGUCUUCAUAUUGGAAAUUAGUGUUUAUGAAAUAUGAGGAUGGAAAUAAAAAAAAAAAAAAAAAAAAAAAAGAAGAUAAUGUAAAGUGGUGAAAGAAUAAUCCUUCCCAGAUGCCACUUCAAUUUCCACAUGUAACAUAGUCUAGAAUGUUAUUGUGGCUGAAUUCAAAUUUCAAAGUCAUGAUAGUGACUCUGAACAUUUUGGGUCACUCAAGUUCUUAGCAUUUGGUAAAAUUUUACACAUGUCUAAAUCAAGAGUAAGAACAUGUAAUGAUGUAUAAAUAUUAGUUAAAUUGAUAAUCCAGUUAUUAUAGAAAUUUUCUUUUCAACAUAACUCAAGACGCAACGCGUCAACUGGAUUAGCAGUUUUACCAAAUCAUAUGCACAUAAGCACAUUUUACCUAAUCAUAUUAACUAUUGCAGUAGUCUUAUAAAACAGGGCAUUGCUUCAUCUUAGUGAUUUUGUGUGUGCGCGUGGGCGCGCAUGCAUGCAUGUGUGUAAUGUGUAUGACUGUACAAGGAAAACACAGAAAGAGAUAACAGACCAGGCAACAGCCAUCCAGCUAGCUGGGGACAGAUCAAUGCUCUUUAAAGUCAUUAACCCUGGAAAUCUUCUAGCCAAACAAUUGACCUGGAAUAUAAGAAGGCACAUUAAGAAUUACUUGAAAUGAAAUCACAAGUAAUUCUAUAAAAUAUCAAUAUUAAGAUAAACAGUACUGGACUUAUUACCUUAUCCAUAAGAGGGACUCUUCCAUAAGGAGUUGAUCUUUCAAAAUACUGAAAAUAAAGAUAACCCAGUCUAUCAUUCUGAUUCCAAACUCUUUCCUGUUCAACACUGGAAUCAUGGGAUGAUCCACCUUCCCAUUUCCAUGACUUCUCACUCUCAGUCUCAUCGCUGCAAGUAUCGCUAAAUGAAUCCCUUGUCUCACUAUCACCGGUCACACUAUCUUCCCUGAAAAGUGAUCAAUUUUCCUUCAAAAAAUGCCACUAAACUUAACUCUUUUUUGCAACCAACUGUAAGAACAGGAAUCAACAUUAUCUACCUAUUUAUAAUGAGAGUAUGACAGUAAUGAUACAAUAAAGGCUAUUAUAUUUACAGUAUCACCUUCCAUCAAAACUAAUUAAAUUAAUAUGUGGAGGGCCAUAUCAUAAAGCCAUUUACAAAGAAAGAAUGUAUUAAUCACCUAAUCAAAACAGAUAUCAGUCUAUACAUAUAGUGUCAUUUAAUAAAAACUAAUUUAGGGAUAAUCUUGAGGACAAUAUUUGGCAUGAAAAUAAUAUUUUUUCUAAAAGGACUAAAGACUUGGAAAUCAAAUAUAAACAAUAUAGAAGGACAGAUGACUGAUCAACCAUAUGUUUUGAAUCCAGAAUAAGCAACAUGAAACAAUCUUAUCUUAAUUUUUAAUAUUGAAAAAUCAAUCUAUCAAAACCCAAAUCAAAGAUAAAGAAAACUAUAAUCACAUACCGAAAAUUGCCGACGAAUGUAUUGCUUGUAAAGAUCUGAAUUGCAGAAAGAUAAGGAACAUAGUACUGAACAACAGUUUCUUGUUUGUUUAAUGUAAUCGGAACUCCAACUCCGUAAGCGCUCCAUUCAUCAUAACAACUCCAAAGAUCUCCCAAUGUGAAAUACUCAAUUGUUUCUCUUUCCCAUGGAUUCCAUAAUUGACUAAAAUUAUUUCUCAAAGCACUCUGUAUCAAAAAUAUGAAAUUAAGCGUUUCACAAGUCACAACAACAUUAAAAAAGUUCUACCUAUAAUAUGAUCAUGAGAGAUAAACAAACAAACCUUUGGAAGAAACCUUGAUGGAACAAUGGGUGUAGUACAGUUUAAAAAACACUCAAGGUUUGAUUGCAUUGAUCCUUUCUCAGUAACCAUGAUUGAAGCAAAAACUGUUUGUAAGAAAAGAGAUUGAAAGAAGAAGAAUUCCUCUGUUUAUCUCUGCUCUGCUCUUACUUACCUUUGAAUUAUAAAAAGAAAUUUAAAAUCUCUUUAGAUUAGAUUAGCUGAAAGAUAUUAUGAAAUGUAAUUUCUAAAUAUAGAUAUUUAGACAACUCAUUUUGAAACAAGAAAGAAUCUUCAAUUAAACCCCUUUAUUGUUUCCCUGUAAACAAAAACUAAAACAAGGUGGUGGUGUUUUUAGGUGUCAAACACAUCAAAACAUCUCAAAAACCCAAAACUCAAUUUGUAUCCAAAGAUUUUAUCUAGAAAUUUCGAGAAAUCUUUUACUAAGAAACAGAAUCUUGAGUUUUAUUGCAAAAUUUUCAGAAAGAGAUAAAAAUGAUUUUAUUUCACUUUUUUAAAAGUGGGAUUUGGAAAAUAAGAAAGAAUCAAAACAAAACAAAUAGCAUAAAUACUUUGAGAGAAUCUAUCUUAAUCUUAUCAUAAAAGGAAAGGUUUUGAUAGAAAUUAGUCUUAGUUUAUUAUAUAAUAAGAAUCUGUUGGCUUUGAAAACAAUGAUGACCAUAUAAGAGAACACAAGAUAAAGAUCAAAUCAAAAAUGACUAUUUCCAAACACUUGUGUUUUCUUUGUUUCUUUAAUAUUGAAAAAUCUGAUUCAGUCCAAAAGCUUUCUCAGAACGUUUGAAGAAGAGAAAAUCGAAUUGCCGCGUUCUUUACGUAUUAAUCUAAACCACUUAAUAAAAUUUUCUCUGUUUUUGAAAUAUAUAAAACAACUUGAUAAAAGUAACCGUGCUCUUGCAGUUACAUAGAACAAAGUAAAAAUGUUAUAUUUACCAUCAGUUUUAUUGUAAAACUAAGAAAUUUUAUAUAGUUUAAAAUCAGAACCUAUUUCAUAUUUUAUUUUAUUUUUUAUGACUUGGGGCAUUUUAUUUUUAAAUGAAUUGUGGUCCUACUCUUACCCUACCACAUAUAUUAUAUAUGAGAAAAAAAUUAGAUUAUCAUUAACUAAAAUAAUAAUACCUUAAUGUUAAUACAACCAUAUUGACAUAUUUAGAAUAAAAUGAGGAAAAUCUUUGUGAGACAUUGAAAUAUGUCGAGGAUCUAGCCCACAGGAUAUGGCAUAUUCCUAAAUUAUUAAGGGAUUUUUUUUUUUUUUUUUUUUAUAAUAUAUAUUAGCCCCUUAAUUAAGUAUCCAACUGCUAUGUGUCAAGAUUUCUAUGAAUUACAUAUAUUUUUAAGUGUCAUAUAUCAUGAAAUAUAUGCAUUUAUCGCAACAAAACUUUUUAGCACAAUAGCACUCCCCAGUUUUCCAGUAGGUUAGUGUGCCUCCCACUCCUGUCCUGCUGGAGGUUGUUGAUCCAAUACCUGCAAGGUUAUGGCAUCGUGGAACCUGGGCUCUCUUGGACCAAUCUAGUUCACUAGUUGGUCAAAUCGUUUGUCAUGGUCCUUGCUAAAUCACAACGGCGUAGUGUUGGAAGAAUGACCCAACACUUACUAGGGUUAUUAUCGCAGAGCAAUGCAGCUAGCACCUUGUGCUUGACGCAAAAUCUAUUUGGUCAUUGUCAUCUAUGCAGUUGUUUUUGAAGUAAUAUAAUGUAUAUAGUUUUAUUCAUUUGUCAUUAGUCUUUUGAGUUGUUAGUUAGUAAACAACGUCGUUCAGCCGUCCAUAUGCAUAACCAACCGUACAAGGAGAAAUGAAAACAAUGGGGUCCUCUGUAUGACUUUUUUUCGCAACCAUGGAUUGUGUAUCAAACUGAUUUUGACUCAUUUUAGUGACAAAUAUGAUAUUGGCAAAAGUAUUAAUGUGCCUCCAGAAGACUAUAUAUUUAAAUGAUUUCUGAAAUAUUGGACAUAUCCUGUCGACAUAACGAGUCACAGGACUCACAGAGUCACAGGUAACUUAAAAUGAUGUGAUCACUUGGUAUUGAUUUUAGUGAGAAGAUUAUCCCCUCUAAACAAAAACUUUGUCAAAAUUUUCUUGACUCACCGGCAUUAAUCCAUAGGUUAGGGUAGCACUUUGUGAUUAAGAUGACCCAAGGUGUGAUUAAUAUCUAAUGUGAAGGGAUUUGAGUUCCCAAUUUGACUUUGGAGUUCAUGCUUGCUUGCUUUCGUUAUCUUAGCAAAUAGCAAUUGAGUUUGUUGAGGUAGUGGGCUAGUGGCCUUAAUUGCUUAGAUCCUUGUGUUAGGCCCAGUUUUCUUUAUGAGUUAUAACGUUAUCACUUCCAUGUUAGUGUGAGGUCAACUGUGUCAAUUUCAAACAUGACAUGUGCAUCAGUGUAUUGCACUGUCAUAAAGACAAAAUCUUUAAAAUUAUUAAAAAAGAAAAACUAUGUAACCAGAAAAGUUUACUAUAGGCAUAUGGCAUCAUAGUACAAAAUAUCGACUAAUGGUAUCAAUCUCCAAAAAAUAGAUAUACCGAGAUAUAUUAGAAUCUAUAGGUGGAUAUUUUAUAUUGAAUGUAUCGACUAAUAUAUCAAUUUGUUAUACAAAAUAUAUAUAAAAUCAAAUUUGGAAGUAUAUUAUCGUAGUAUUUACCUAAAAAACAUCAUAUCUACUAAAAAUAAAAUAAACAAAUUAUUUCCCAGAAAAAAAAUUUGCAAAAAAAUAAUAUUUCCAAAACAUAUCAAAAAAUAUCAAUAAAUAUCGGGAAAUAUCGGUCGAUAUUUUACAAAAACAUUAAGGGAUAAAUAUCGGAAAUAUAUCGUAUAUCGUUUUCUUUGAAAAACCGAUAUAUAUCGCGAUAUAGCGAUAUUUUGUACUAUGUAUGGCAUGCCCAACCAUAGUUUAAAAUUCUGAAUCCGGGCCAAAGUUUGGAUUCAGAAAAAACGGUAUAUUCUAACAUUCCGACCCUCUAAACAAAUAUGUCAUCUGAAAUGUCGAGAAUAUUCUUAGAUAUUCCCGGAAUUUCUCGGAAUUUACAAUUCCGUAAAUUCCAAUUCUCUAAAAACCAGUAUAUUCGAUCGAAAUUUCAUGAAAUAUAUCGAUAUUUUGAACUAUGUGCCCAACUACCCUGAGUUUUCUUACAGGCACAUAUCUAGAGCCCUGUUCCAACCCAAAAAAUGUAAAAAGUCUUCUUCGUACGGACAGAACCAGUUCUUCAUCUUGAGACAUACAGUAUACAUCAUAAACCACCCUUUAUUCUAUCUUUCAACUUGAGGCCUACCACAGAUCCUUAAUCAAGCCUUCCCAAUCACAAAUUGUGAUCUUUCUUAAGAUUUUGAUGUUUGUCGUUCACUUCAAGCCAGGCCCAACCCAUACAUUUUAUCUGUCGAACAACUUUCACCAGAUCAAAGGAUUCCUGCUUGAAUAUCAGUUGGUUUCUACAUACCCAAAUCACCCAUAAGACAAUAUAUGGUAAGACUAGCCAAAUUUCCUCCCCAAUGCCUCUUAAGUGUAAUCAGGCCAGUUGGAUAUAACAUCUCUGACUACCCCAUUUGGCAGAAUUGCUGCUACUCUUAGUAGAUGACCAAUGAGACUUUACCAGACCUGAAUUGAGACCGGGCAUAAGAAGAAUAAAUGCGAGGCAUUUUUUUAGCUACUAUUGCAUAAUAUGGUACGUACUGGGGUUCUUUUCUUUUGUUACCAAUGAUUGAGAACUAGAUAGAACAAAAUAACAUUAAGAAGAAAAAGAUAAUCGGUUUACUGACGAACCGUUGCCUCUUGUUACAACUCAAGUUGAACAAUCAAAUGAAAUAAGUCAAUAAUAAGUCAUCUCCUUUAUUCAUGAUUCCCUCACCUUAUAUAGGUGAUUCACUACAACUGUACCUAGAAAACAGGAAAAUAUCUUCAACUACUAACACAACGUUACUUUGCUAAUAAGACAACUUCUCCCCUACUUCUUAGCUAACAACUUAGACUAAUUCUUCAUGACAUACUGCACUACUUAAGAAAAUAAAUAUGACACCCAUAACAUUCCCUUCCCCUUAAAAAACAGCCUUGUCCCCAAGGCUACAAUCUGGAAACUGUUUUUUCAUCUCAGACAGAUUCUCCCAUGUUGCCUCUGUUGGAGAUAAACCUUGCCAGUGAAUUAGAACCUCCUCUUUCCUUCGACGAAUGCGACGAUCAAGAAUUGCUUGAGGCCUUGGAUAUAAAGAUUCAUUUUCAUCAGUUGUUAUGGGCAACUCAGUUUGAACUUCAACCCUUUUCCCAACUUUUUUUUUUCAGCAAGGAAACAUGAAACACCGGAUGAAUGCGAGAGCUUUUAGGCAAAUCCAACUUGUAUGCGACAACCCCAAUUCUCUUAAGAACUUGAAAGGGCUCAUAAAUUUUGGGAGAUAACUUCAAAUUUUUCCUUAGAGAAAGCGAUGUCUGACGGUACGGCUGAAGCCUUAAAUACACCCAAUCUCCUUCUUCAAAUUCUCUCUCUCGAUGGUGACGAUCAUAGACCUUUUUCAUACGUGACUGAGCUUCCUUAAUGUUGCUCUAGAGAUGUACAAGAACCUGAUCACGAUCCAUGAGCUGCUUCUCUACUGCCUGAACUUUAGCCAUACCAGGAACAUAGGACAACAACGUUGGUGGCGCACGUCCAUACACAAUUUCAAAGGGAGUAGACUUAAUGGUUGAAUGCCAGCUAGUGUUGUAACAAUACUCAGCCCAAGAUAACCAUUUACUCCAUUCCUUUGGCUAGGAACUAGUGAAACACCUUAAAUACAUCUCCACAGUCCGGUUUACUACUUCACUCUGACCGUCUGUUUGAGGAUGGUAUGCUGAACUAUAGUUGAAAGCCGUGCCAUUUAACUUAAAUAAUUCUGACCAAAAUAAGCUUGUGAAAGUCGGAUCUCGAUCGCAUACAAUAGACUUUGGCAUUCCAUGAAGCUUGAAAACGUUAUCAAAAAAUGCCCGAGCAACUCCAACAACAGUGUAAGGGUGUGACAUUGUGAUGAAGUGAGCGUAUUUAGAGAGUCUAUCAACAAUGACAAAUAUUGUAGUUUUGCCAUUAGAGGGAGGUAGACCAUCAAGAAAGUCCAUUGAUAUAUCUUCCCACACCUGAUUAGGAACAGGAAGAGGCUGUAACAAACCCGCAGGAGCUAGUUGUUCGGCCUUGUGACGUUGACAUGUAUCACAAGCUGAAAUAUACUCCUUAAGACCCUUUUGCAUUACAGGCCAGUAAAACGCUGCUCUGAUUCGCUGGAGUGUCUUUUGGUACCCUUCAUGGGUACUGUUAUGAAAUUGCCCCAUGAUGUCCUUAAGCAAUGAAGAACCUUCAGCAAGAUAAAUUUUCUCCUUAAAGAAAAUAAUUCCAUCUUUGAAUUGCCAUGGGCCUACUGUUUCACCUUGCAUGAUGCGUUGUACAAUUCCUUGUAACACUAAAUUGGACUUCAAUUCAUCUUUAAUAGCUUCUACCCAAUCUGGAAUGGGUUGAGUGAUAGCUGCAAGUGCACCUUGUGGAACAUCUUCUCGACGAGAUAGAGCAUCAGCAACAAUGUUUUCCUUCCCCCGUUUGUACUCAAUGACAAAAUCGAAACCCAUCAACUUAUAGAGCCACCUUUGUUGCGCUGUAGUAGUAAUUUGUUGGACCCAUAAAUGCUUCAAGCUUUGGUGAUCAGUUCUGACUAUAAAUUGCCGACCCAACAAAUAUGGACGCCAUUUUUGCACAGCCAAUACUAACGCCAAAAUCUCCUUUUCAUAAGUGGACAACAACAAAUUUUUUCCUUGCAAGGCAUGACUAAAGAAAGCAAUAGGACGCUCUUGCAUUAAGACUGCUCCCACACCCGAACCACUAGCAUCACAUUCGAGAAAAAACUUAUUUGAGAAGUCUGGUAGAGCUAACACAGGAGCUUGGGUCAUGACUUCCUUUAAAGUUUGAAAGGCAACUUCAACCGUUGGUGUCCAUUCAAAUGAAUCUUUUUUCAGCAUCCGGGUGAGCGGUCCAGCAAUUUUACCGAAGUUUUGGAUAAAUUUUCGGUAAUAUCCAGUCAGCCCAAGGAAACCUCUCAAGGCCUUUGGAGUUGUUGGCUUAGGCCAGCCUAUCAUAGCCGCAAUCUUGUCUAGAUCUACUGCAACACCUGUAUCAGAUUUCACAUGGCCAAGGUAUUGUACCUUAUUUUGACCAAACUGGCACUUCUAUCUUUUCACAAACAAACUGUGAGACCUUAACACAGACAAUAUAAUUUGUAAAUGUGUAACAUGCUCACUCCAAGAUUUACUAUAUAUAAGGAUGUCAUCAAAGAACACUAAGACAAACUUUCGUAAAUAAUCUUGAAAUAUCUCAUUCAUUAGAAAGGUGGAUGGUGCAUUGGAAAGGCCGAACGGCAUUACCAAGAAUUCAUAAUGGCCAUGAUGUGUACGGAAAGCUGUCUUUGAUGUGUCUUCUGGUACAACUCUGAUCUGGUGAUACCCGCUUCGAAGAUCCAACUUUGAGAAUAUUUUAGCUCCAUUCAACUCAUCCAACAACUCAUCAAUUAUUGGAAUCGGAAACCGGUCUUUGAUUGUAAUCUUGUUUAGUGCACGAUAGUCGACACACAUCCGCCAAGACCCAUCAUGUUUCUUAACUAAGAUAACUGGUGAUGAAUAAAGACUGUUACUGGGUUUGAUCACACCAGUAGAGAGCAUUCCUGCCACCAAUUUUUCAAUCUCAGUCUUUUGAUAAUGCGGGUAGCGAUACGGCUUGACACACACUGGUUCACUGCCUGUCUUUAAUGGAAUUUUGUGAUCAUGGACCCGCGGUGGAGGUAAACCACUUGGCUCCUGGAAAACAUCUUUAAACUCUUCUAACAACAGCUGCAAUUGAGGAGGCUGAUAUUCAUCACUAACUUCAAGAAGUGGAGUGCCAACUGAAUAUAAUUGAAACAACGCCCCCCUUUUUUAUUUUCUUGCUUCACGACUAAACUUAAGUUUUCCAACGAGCUUGUCAUCUGGUUUGGAUUCUCCUUGAAGGAAAACCUCUUUAUCUCCCACCUUAAAUGUCAUCUACAACUUAGUAAAAUCCCAUAAAAUAUGGCCAAGUGUACGCAUCCAUUGUGUACCCAAAACAAUAUUAUAUCCUUCAAGUGGUAGUAAAUAAAAAUCCAGAUAAACAAUCAUACCACGCAAAUUUAAUUUCACAUUUGUGCACUUACCUUGACUAGAUAAUCUGUCACCUGAAGCCACCACAACAUCGAAUUGUUCUGCAUUAUCAGGUAGUAACCUGAGCCUUAUAGCAAAAGUUACACUCAAAAAGUUAUGAGUGCUCCCUGAGUCCACCAAGACAAUGGUUGAAAGAAUUCCAAUGCUUCCCCUGAUCCGCAUUGUUUCUGGUGCUUGUGUACCAGCAAUGGCGUGCAAAGAAAUUUGAGGUGUCUCAUCAUCUACCGCCAUAAUAAGAUCUCCAUCUGCUUCACAAGCUUCAAUCAAGAAUAACUUGUUACAUCGAUGACCCGGAACAAACUUCUCAUUACAGUUAUAACAUAACCCCCUUUGACAUCAUUCUUGUAAUUCAGCUGUGGACAUUCGCCGAACAGGAAGAGUUGAACUGCUGGCUGAUGCUUCUUUGUUGACAAGAACAUUCUUCUUUAAAUCUGAUGAGGGAACAAAUUUUUUCUGUGAAUUAUUGCGAGCUUCAUACAAGCGAGCCAGUCCAAUAGCCGCUAAUAAGGUCACUACACCAAAACAGCAAAUUUGCAACUAGGCUUUUUACAAUUUGCAAUGGUUAUUUAGCAUUGCAAAUUUGCAACACCUUAUUGCCGUUGCAAAUUUAUUUUUUCGUUGCAAAAUAAUAAAAUAAAAAUAUAAGAUUUUUGUAUGUGUUGCUAUUAUGCUUGAAACCCCCCCUCGACGUUGCAAAAUAUAUAGAUAACCGAAACGAAAAAGUAACGCGGCACGGUUUUAGCACGUGCAGCGUUGCAAAUUGGAAACAGUUAAGAAGAGAUCGAGUUAAACUCUUUCUCUUAAAACUCAUAAUAUAUAUGCUGCCUCUGUCUUUCUUCACUUUCCCAACUCUAGUUUCUUCUUCUCACUGAUUCAACAAAUUUGAUUCUCCCACUAAUUCAAUAAUUUCAAUUCUUCUCACCCUAACAACAAUUCAAUCACUGCCUCUCCUUUUUUUUUUUCCAUCACUUCAAUUCCUCGAUCGAUCUGCAAUUAAGAACUCAUCCGCGCGCUGCUGUGUGGUUUCAAUCGUCGCUCCAAUCACGGUAAAUCUCUUCCAUCACUCUCUCUCUCUCUUUGGUUCCAAACAAAGCCAUAUCUGUAAUUAGAUUAUUAAUUGUUAGUUUAGAUCGACUUGAAUUUCAAAUUAAACAAGCAGAAUUUCUAUUCAAUUUCGUAUCUUGAAUUGUUGUUUGUGUGAGAUUGAUGGGGUAAUGAAAAAUUGGAGGAAAACUAUGGAAAAAGGGUUACUGCUUCUCAUCCAAAUGUUAGAGUAACACAGCUGAGUAACCACAGAAGGCGAAUGUCCGACCUUGUCUAAUUGAGUAAUUGGCAUAAGGAAAUCCAAGUAAAGAGGUGUCUGCUAUUUGUACAAUAAACUUGUGUUCGUUUGCUGAUUAUAGAAUGUUAGUUGACUUCUAGUGUGUAAACUGUAAAGGGUGGUUUUUCAAGAUUUCUUACUGAUUGUUUUCUGAUUCUAUAGUGGUCAUUUGGUUGCUGUGUUACAAAUUUGGAUUGACAAAAAAAAAAAAAUUACAGUGUCAAGUAUUGUUUCUUGUGCAGUCUAGGCUUGUAGCCAUACUAACAACAUGUAUUCACUGCGAACUACAUUGAAACUUUUUUGCAUUCUAUUGCUUGGAAAACAUAUCUGUAUCUGCAUGUUUUGCGAGAGGUUCUGUUGUUUGAAUUGAUUGAUUACUGUAAUUUUUUCUUUCUCACGGUAUUGUGUUGCUUCAGACCUUUUAAAUAUGGGAUUAUUAUAAAAUCUCCAACAAUAAUAUCAUCUUUUGUUAUUCAGUUUCAGACAAUACAACUCCCACCAAUAAAGAGCAUUAAAAGAUCUCUAACCAAAACUUGGAAGAUCAACCCAAUGUAAUUCGUUGGAUAAUGUGGUUCAAUGCUUUUGUCUUCCAAGUUGAAAUCAUCAAUAUCAGUUCCAUGAAAAAGCAGUAACCCUUUUCCUUUGUAAGCUGUGUAGGAACUUUCUAUGGAAAAGGCCUGAUUGUUAUUUUUUAUUGUAAUGACUAGGAUCGCUGUAAUAAUGAAGCAUUUCUGCAUAUUUCUCUUCUUUCUAUGUUGUUGUAUUUAGUCCGUGUAACAGCUCUCUCUAGAGCAGCCUGCAGCCUGCAAACUUUUAUAUUUUUGCAAGCAGGGUCUUAUUGGUUAUAAGUCUCUUAACUCAAAAUUAUGAAAAUUAUGCAAUAUGAAUCUUAUUUCCAAAGUUCUAAAUGAAUGAUGGAUUUCCAAAGUCCAAACAAAGUAUUGAACCUAUAUCACUAAUUCAUAACCAAAGGACAUGAGACUAAGCCAAAUAGUGCCAUUUACAUUUCUGCAUUAUUUAUAACUGAUCUCUCCUUUUCUCUAUAUAUCCUUUUUCUUUUCUUUUUUUGCUCGAGGAAAUUUCCAUACCAAUGGUUGAAUGUGGAUGGCUAUUUAUACAUGGAUAGCCAAAGUUGUAAUGCCUGAGUAGCUUUGAUUGUUUUCUUUUACUGCAUAUACAAAGCACAUACAAUGGUGCUUAAUUUGGCGAGUCUGCAGGUCAAUUUUCUUAUUUUUUGUUAUUUUCCUGAUACAAUAUAGGCCCAUCACUAAUCAAUAUAAUUUCUUGUCGAUGUUGUGUUCAAGUCUGUUGGUUUUGCUCUUUUAACUAUUUAAGUGCUGAAUUUGUAUACCAUACUUGAUUGCUAAGGUCAUUACAUCAAUUCUUAUCUGGUAUGCAUAUAUGGUUCAAUUUUGAUUAUUUUGAUUUGCAAGGGAAAACCAAUUUCGUCCUUUGGAUUGUUCUCAUUCCUUUGAGACGAGUGCAUCUGAAGCUGAUAUUUUCUUUCCAAGGUAUUUUUAUGGACACUUGUGAACUUAUGAAUGUUUAAUAUUGUGCAAAGAGAAGGAUACUUCAUAGUGUGUGACCAAUAUACGAGAAGACUUGCUAGGAUUUUGUUAGCUUGAUUAAAGGUACCUUUUUAAUACCAUUACUCUCUGUCACAACUUAAAUGCAAUUUUAUGUAGUACAUAGUAAAUAAACCCUAAACAUGUACUCGGAAUCUGUUAGGUACGCCAUGGAGUACAUGCCAAAAACACAAGAUGAAAAUCAUUAUUCUUCUCUAGAAGUUGAAGAAGAUGGUGAGUGCAAUAUCGAACGGUGUAUUGAAGGUAAAACUAUAUUGCUAACAGCAACACAGUUUGUACAAAUACAUAGAUGGGUACUUUUUCGAUUAGAAGUUGAAGGACUUGCGGAGUACUACAGGUAGGACUCCAUUAUUUUCCAUUAAUUGUAUGCUGGUUAAGCAUACUUGCAUGUUUAGGUAAUUAGGUGUCUUAUCUCCUGCACAACUGUACCCUAUGAGUAGAGGAUAAUGUAAAUUUCAAUUUCCAAAACUUACAUUGUUUUCACGUAUGCUCUAUGCUACAUGACUGACAUUAGUUAAUUGUCCUAUGGCAAGAAUGUGCAUGGCUGUUCAAGCCUUCUUACCAUCUCAAUCGCAGGGAUUUUUAAAUCUUUUGGCUGGGUUUGUUCUAAUUCUCUUGUAUUUGCUGCAACUCAACCAUCUUAGGAUUAUUAACACACGCUGAUUUGCUUCACAUGUGGCAGUUAUGAAGAUGGAUCCAUUGCUUGGUGGGAUAUAAGAGCUUGGGAGUUCCGUUAGCUACUGCAAAGUUUCAUUCUGAACCAGGUUCUCAGUUCAUUAUCAUGAGCUUGUAUUUCAUAUCGUUUGUUAUUUAUCAAAUGAAAAUUGUGUUUGUUUAAGCGUUUCUAUAUUCUGUAAUAAAACUACUAAAUUAAAAAUAAUAACAACUUGCUUUAAGUCUAUUCUUAUCAUCCACUCCUUUUUUUUUUUUUUUUUUUUUCUAAUUUUUGCCUUUUCUUGUUAUUAUCAAUUUCUGUAUACAGUUUUAAGUCUCACAGUUGAUGGGCCAUGCACCGGGGGUAUCUCUGGAGCUGCAGAUCAAAAACUAGUGUUCUUUACUCUUGAUCAUCAGACAGUAAGCUCAAAUAUGAUUUUAGGAAUUUUCUUUUCAAAAGAUUUGAAAAAGAGGCUUCUCCCGGGGUCUCAACUUGCAUACUACCCCUGUUCUUGCAUUUGCUUUGUUAUAUUCUAUAUUUAAUGUAAAUAUAAUUUUCUUUUUAAUCUUGUCUCAUCAAUAACUUGGCUUGACACCAUAUGUAUCUUACGUGACAUAGGGUUCUUGUCUUAUCAAGAAAGAGAUCAGUUUGGAGCGACCUGGUAUAGCAGGCACCUCAAUUCGAAUGGAUGGGAAAAUUGCUGCAACUGCGGGAUGGGAUCACAGGUUAUUUAUUUCACCUAUAUGAUAUUCAAGGAAGCUAUAUCUGUCGCUAUUACCGCUUACAGCCUUUAUGAUGGCAGCAUUCAUGUGCCCUGUUGUCAGUUCUCGCUGUAAAUCCCCCAAAAGGGUAACGCAUCACAAACAAGAUACACAUGCUCUUCAUUUUCGCAAAGAAAGAAAGUUCCAACCUUGGUUCACAAUAACUUAAGCAGUUGGUCGGUAGAUCUUCACAACCGUACAAGAUAUGGUAGUAGUUGUUCUGAUGUAUGGGUUUGUAGAAAAGGCAAUGGAGGCCAUCAGGUGUAUGUGGAAACCAUUAAUGAAGAAUAGCAAAAAUAUAUAUUUUUUUUUUUUUUUAUAAUUUGCAACGCCUUAUAAGCAUUACAAAUACAUGUUGCAAAGUACCAGGUUACCGUUAUUACAAACAUUUGCAACGCCUACUGGCGUUGCAUUUUCAAAUAUUUCUCAAUUUAAAAACAAUUAUGCAACAACAAUAACCGUUGCAAAAUAAAAUAAAUGCAACCCACUAUGGGCGUUGCAAAUAUAGAAAAAGCAAUGCCAAUAAGACGUUGCAAAUACAAACAUAGCAAUGCCAAAAAACCGUUGCAAAUAUUUGCAACGGUAUUUGUAACGCUGUAGUUGCAACAGCAUAAAGGCGUUGCAAAUAAAAUUUGCAAUGCCAUAUUACCAUUGCAAACCGCUUGUUAUGGUGUAGUGGGUUUCAGGGUGCCUACCUAGUACAUCUGCCUUGAUUGAGUAUUUUAGUCCACUGAUAAAACAAAUCACUUGGCGAUCAUGAGGGAGAUAACCCACCUUCGAUAAUAAUUUCUCGAAUUGUGUCUGAUAUUCACGUACAGACCCAACCUGCUGCAACUUAAUCAAAUCACCAAAGAAGUCUUGGAAUUGAGUCGGACCAAAUCACGCAUGUAAACCAUUGCGAAAUUCUUGCCAAUUCACUUCACCUCCAUCCUGUUUUAACACCUGAUACCACAACUGAGCAUCACCCUCUAAAUGGAAAGACGCAAGUGCAACACAUUCGUCUUCGGGUGUACGGUGAAACUGAAAGAAUUGUUCCACUCUACAAACCCAACUCGUAGUGUCUUCUUCCCCAUUGAAGCGGGGAAAAUCAAGUUGACAAGCUUUGGAGCACACGAUUGUUGCAUCCCAUUUUGACGAAACCGAAGGUAUUUCCAGAUCGAGCCAUCGAGUUCUCUGCUUCAUGCUCAAAGUUUGCUGGUGUUGGAGAAGGACGUGAAUUAAUCUUAUCAAAUAAUUCAUCAAGCUUCGCCAGAAUUUUCUUCUGAUUGACGGAGAGAUCUUUCACUUCUGCUUCUAACUUUUCCACUCUUUGAUCCAUUUCCUUGCUUUGAUACCACUGUGGUACGUACUGGGGUUCUUUUCUUUUGUUACCAAUGAUUGAGAACUAGAUAGAACAAAAUAACAUUAAGAAGAAAAAGAUAAUCGGUUUACUGAGGAACCGUUGCCUCUUGUUACAACUCAAGUUGAACAAUCAAAUGAAAUAAGUCAAUAAUAAGUCAUCUCCUUUAUUCAUGAUUCCCUCACCUUAUAUAGGUGAUUUACUACAACUGAACUACCUAGAAAACAGGAAAAUAUCUUCAACUACUAACACAACGUUACUUUGCUAAUAAGACAACUUCUUCCCUACUUCUUAGCUAACAACUUAGACUAAUUCUUCAUGACAUACUGCACUACUUAAGAAAAUAAAUAUGACACCUAUAAGAUAAUACACAUAAGUUAUCAUCCACAAUGCCUCGGCCAAAGGGCUUGUCCUUGGUGAGGAUCCUAUCAUGAAAAGACGCCAUACGAAUAAUUGAACCUUUAAGGGAAAGAUUCAAGAGGUGCCAUAUAUUCAUUAUGAUGUUUCGAGAGAACUUUGUAGAAAGACUUGACGAAGAACUUUUUAUCCUUGUUCCCUUGCCAUUCCCAAGCACCCUCUUCUAGAGAUAGUGUUUUCGAGGUGAAUAAUGCCAUAAGAUCCUCCAUUUCAAGGGCCUCACCCUCUCUCAAAUACCGUCUUCGGACGUGAGGCUUUCAUUCACCAUUUAAGCAAUGAUUAUAAAUGAUACAAUUACUAGGGAAAUAUACUAUUGAAUGCGAAAAUAAACAAUAAUAGUAAAUUAAAUAAAAUGAACAAAACACAAGAUCUUGAAGAAAAUUCUCUUCUUUAUUGAAUAUUAUGAAGAUUAGAAGAAUCUCUGCCUCACAAUAUACUCUCUAGACAAGCUAAGCCCUACCUGCCUUUCUUAUUUCUAAACACACUAAACAUUAGUGGUUUCUCUAAACAAGUUAAAUAAGCUAUGUUUGGUACGUCUAUGUUUUAGUUUAUGCCAAAUCAUCAAUCUAAAUAAACAAAUUAGUAGUUGUUUCUCUAAACAAGUUAAACACUAGCUUGUUUGUAUCUCUUGAAACAAGUAAGGACUACAUGUUUCGUUUUAUACAUUUUGGUUCAUGCCAAAACAUAUAUUAAUAGGCCAAGAAUUUCCUUUGUAACGCCCCGGGAUUUCGUCCUCGCUCAUCCCGGUGCGUCGAGCACCAUACCGCUCGCUAAUGUCAAUAUUGUCCCCCUUUGGUCACUGCAGAUAUCCAGCAGUAGAAGGUUUUGGAUCAGGGCCCACUCAUGUGGUUUACCCAAAAAGGCAAGACAUUAGUUAAAGUAUGGUUAAGCUCUAUAUACUACCACUACAACCACUUCCUUGGUAAUGUGGGACUAACCCCAACUCAUGGGUGUUACAUCAUUUUUCCUGAAACUAUCUCUUAUGGAAUAAAGAAUCCUAUUGAAAGUUUUCUUUUCCUUGUCCUACAAGGAAAAAAACCUGUUAAGUUUCCAAAUAAGACUUGUAUCAUUGUUCCCCCCUUUAGAAACUUAAACUCCUGUUUAAGCUAGAAACGGAGAUUAGAGAACUUAAGAGUUCCCUGGACUUUGUUGAACCAUCCAACUUUGCCUGGAACUUGACCAAUACGCCCAAUACGAAACACUGUUUGUUUCGUACUUAGUGUCUUAGUCACCUUGCGCUCCAAAAUGCAAUCUUCCUUGAAUGACUCCUCUAGAUCAACCCAAUGUCAUGUCAUCAAAAUAAACUUCCCACGAGUUGAACUCCUUUUCUUCUGUGCUUCUUUGAUGAUGAAAUCAGUUAGCUUCAACAGUCCAUCUGUUUCUGAAACAAAACCAUUUUCUCAUCGAUACUAGCUUUCUACUACGAAGUAGAUGUUUCCACCUCGAAUUUUUUUUAUUUUGUUUUUGUCAUCUUCUUUGUUUUGUCUUCUUAGAAUCUUCCAAGGACACUCGAAUUUUACCUAGCUUUUUGUACUGGAUACGAGUUAAGACCAUAAACCACAGAAAACUCCACCAGGGAAUCGGACUUUGCUCUUGAUAACAACUUGGUUCAACUUUGGCCUGAUACCAACUUGAUACAAAUUACUAGACAAAUAUACUAUUGAAUGCGGAAUUAAACAAUAACAGUAAAUAAGAUGAACAAAAAACAAGAUCUCGAAGAAAACUAUCUUUUUUAUUGAAUAUUAUGAAGAUUACAAGAAUCUCUGCCUCACAAUACUUUAGACAAGUUAAGCCCUAGAUACCUCUCUUAUUUCUAAACAUAAUAAACCUUAGUGGUUUUUCUAAACAAGCUAAAAUAAGCUAUGUUUGGUCUAUGUUUUGGUUUAUGCCAAAACAUCAAUCUAAACAAACUAAAUAGUAGUUGUUUCUCUAAACAAGCUAAGCACUAGCGUGUUUGUAUCUCUUGAAACAAGUAAGGACUACAUGUUUCUCUUUAUAUAUUUUGGUUUAUGCCAAAACAUAUAUUUAUAGGCCAAUAAUUUAUUUUUUCCUAAAACUCUAUCUCUUAUAGAACAAGAAAACCUAUUUAAGGUUUUCUUUUCUUUGUCCUAUAAGAAAAAUAACUGUUAUGUUUCCAGAUAGGAUAUACCUGUAUCAAUAAACUAACCCAUUUUUCAAGGCGGCAAUUAUAUGUAACCUUGGGAACCUUAUGGGAAGAGUGGAUUCGCCAAAAACUUGUAUUCCUUCCAUUCCCGACCUUAUGUGUAUUGUUCUCGAAUAAUUUCUCAUUUGAGGAAAAAAUGCCCCUCCAAAGACCUUUGGACAUAAUUCUCCUCUUCCAUCCGCUUAGGCACGAAAGCUUCUAUGACGGGAUCCUAAACUUGAGUGUUUUUGUAAUUAGAUCCAAGCGGAAUGCCAAGAUAUUUUGUUGGGAGUUUCCAAACCUCACAACCAAUAACAUUUGCAUGAUGCUUACAUUGGGUACCUCUCCAACCCCAAAGAUAUGAGAUUUUGAGAGAUUCAUUUUGAGACCCGAGAUCAUUUCAAAAAUACCCAAAAUGACAAACCAUACUUACAUUGCUUUUAGAUGGAUUUGUGAGAAAAAUGGUGUCAUCCGCGAAUCGCAAGAUGCCCACUUUCACCAAGUAUUCCCUUUGCCCUUUGUGGAAACCUUCAAGAAAUCCUAACUCCAUUUCCUUAGAUGUAAGUCGGGUGAGAACUUCCAUGAAGAGGAUAAAGAUAAAGGAGGAUAGAGGGUCCCUUUGUCUUAAUUAAGCCUCUAUGAGAUUUGAAGUUACCCACUGGUGCGCCUUCCACCAUAACCGAAACCCGGGCGGUCCAAAUACAAGUAUCGACCCAUCUUCUCCCCUUAGGUCCAAAACCCAUGCGGCCUAUUAUGUAGUCCAAGAAACCCUAAUUAACAUGAUCAUAUGCUUUAGUGAUGUCUACCUUGCAUACAAUAGUCAGUUCUCCCCUUUUUAACUUAUAAUCCACACAUUCAUUAGCUACAAUCACAUUAGGGUAAUUUCCCAUAUGGGACCAAGAUUAUGGUGCCUCUUCUAAAAUGGGACCAAUAGACAGGAUAUAUCCCAAACCUGCCCUGUUUAACCAAAAAGUCAUAUUUUCUCAUAUUUUAAGCAAAAUUGGUAUUUUCUAUGGGAAAUUUCUCAAAAAACCACCACCUUUAGGUGCUUCUUCCCAAAUAGCCACUCAUGAGAGGUAAUCUUCCCAAACAGCCACCUUACCCCACCACUUUACACUUUUCAGAUUUUUUCUUACCUAAACUACCCUUUGUACUUAUGACAAAACUUUUUGCUUUGAUUUGACCAAGUACAAGCUGAUGUGACCCCUUCACAAUAACCUAUAUAAAAAUUACAACCAUUGAUUUUGCUAGAAAUGAGAGAUUAAAUCACAACCGUUUAUUAUUCAGAUGUAUUUACAAAACUACCCUUAACAGUUGUUUCCAACUAAAUGACGUGUACGGCUGAGAUUAAACAUGGAUUUGUGCAUACAACGAAAAGAGGACACGUGUUUGUAGCCGUUUGGAGGGUAAUUUUGGCGGGAAAAUUUUGAGAAGAUAAUCACUUCCAAACAAGAACCCUAACUUACCAAAAACCAUUUUUCUUCUUCCAACCGCCUCCAUUAACACAGUUACCAUUUCUUGUUGAAAUUAUACCGUUUCAAUUAUUUCUUUGUAGUUCUAGAACUCUUAAUUUUGACAAAAAAUGGUUGUUGAAUCCACCACCUCCAAAACCCUAGAAACAGUAUCAAUGUCUGUUAAUGAGAAGUUAGAAGGAGCAAUUGAAGAAAAAAUUGAAGAGCAAGUAGAAGAAACUGAAGAGAAAGAAGCAGAAUUUGGAAAGAAAGACGAAGAAGAAGAAGAAGAGAAACAUGUAGAAGAAGAACAACAAAUUGCAGGCGAAGAACAGCAAACCGAAGUGGGAGAACAACAAAUCGAAGUGGGAGAACAGCAAAUUGAGGUGGGAGAACAGCAAAUUGAGGUGGGAGAACAACAAAUUGAAGGAGGAGAACAGCGAAUUGAAGAGGAACAACAACAAAUGGAAGAAGAAGUAGACAAAAUUCAAGAGCAACAUGAUGAAAUUCCAGAAUCAAGUGGAGUAGAACAAAUGAGAAAGAAAUAUGGCCGUAAUUUCAGUGUAACGUUAAGAUGCUCAAUGAAGAAGGUAGGUGAUCAUUUUGGGAGUAAAUUACCUCUGUUGGAGAAGGAAAAUUUUAGUUCUUCAUGCUUUAGGUAUUUCUUAGAUGUUCAAACAGAUAAAUUGCACAUGAUUACAUCUGUUGUUACACAAAUUGUGAAAGCUAGAGUUGGUAAAUUGAAGUACAAGAUUGGGGGAAAGGAAAUGCAGUUCAAACCAUUUGAUGUGACUUUAAAUUUAGGAUUGAAAAUUGGUCGUGUACCACAUGAGUUCAUUUUCAUGGAAUCAGAAGUUCCAAGUCCAUUUAGGGAGAAAUAUUUUGGCAAGAGGAAAAGCAUUAAGGAAAAGAACAUGAAAGAUGCAAUUGAAGUAGCACGAAAUGAUCAUAAUUCUGGUGAUGAUGUGCAUCGUUUGAAUCGUUUGUUGCUUCUGUUAACAUGCCUACUACCAGAUGCAUCUAAUACCAUCGAUGUCAGGUAUGUCUAAAAUUCACACAUUUAUCUUCAAAUGUGGUUAUAUUAUCUGCUAAAUAUGUUCAUGUUAUCUUCUAAAAUUCACACAAUGUUAUCUGGCAACAUUGUGGUUUUUAUUCUUAUAUGCUAAAUAGUAAUAUUUAGGUUUCAUAUUUGUGUACUGUUAUCGGCUAAAAAUCAGCAUGUUAUCCUCUAAACUUUAAUCAUGUCUCCUCUACAUUUAGUAUAUGCACAAGGUUUAGGGUAAAUAUGUUAUGUUAUAUAAUGUUAACAUGGUUUAUGUAUACUGUAAUAGUCUUGUAACAUAUAUGACCAUUGAUCUUAGGUAUGUCGACCUUGCAUCAAAUCUUCAAGAAUUUGAUGAAUUUCCUUGGGGAACUGUUGUGUUCAAUCUGUUAGAUUAUGCUCUAGAAACAGCAGCAACAAAUGAAGCAGCCCAAAAACUGAGUUACAAUCUACCUGGGUGUGUGCUUGCAUUUAUUGUCUGGGCAUACAGCCACAUCCCAUGUCUAGGUCCUAGAAGGGAAGCUGAUGUACCACCAUUCCCUAGGAUGCUUGGUUGGAAGAAUCUUCCAGGGAAAACAACAUGUAGAGAAACCAUUGAUAAGAAGCUUAACCCUCCUCGCGAAAAAGCAAUCGAAGUUGCUCCCCCUUUCCUUACUCUUCAAGAAUCUGGUGAAGCACUUGUUGUUGAAGCAGAAAAGGUAUGUAUACUACUCUCUAAUUAGGUUUUAUAUCCCAUACAUUAUGCCUAGUCUAUCUUGUAGAUAGUAAAUUCCUACAUUACAUAUAACAAUCUAUCUGCAUCCUCAAAUCAUGUCUAUCUUAUCGGCUAAAAUUUCAAUUAUAUCCUCUAGACUAUGAAAUAUUAUUUGUUAAUAUUAGCAUGUAUAUAAUGUUGUUGUAGUGGCAACAAGAACGUGACAAGCAAGAAAAGGAUAUAGGUGUGGGUUCACUGGAAGGAAUUCUGAAGGGAGUGGUAAAAGACAUUGAGGAAGGAGUUGUUUCUGGUGUAAGCAAGAUAUUGAAACCCGAGGCACUGAAAGGGGGGUCUUCAUCUUCAACCCAGAUUAGAAACAUUCCUAAAGGAAGGAAACAGAAGAAGAACACUACCCCCACCAGAAAGAGGAUACAACCAAGUACCUCCACCAAAAAGAAAAAGGAACCAAGUGGGGUCACCACAAAGAGGAAGGAACCAAGUACCCCCACCAAAAAGAGGAAGGAACCAAGUACCCCCAGUAAGAGAAAUGAAACUAAGAAGAGUGCAGCAGCUGUAGCCAAGUCUAAAACAACUGUACCUGCCCCCAAGGCUAACCCUAAAACAACUGCUACACCCAAGACCAAAACAACUUUGGCACCCAAGUCAGUUCUGAAGAAGGGCAACACAACUACCCCCACCACCAAAGCAGUCUCCAAGAGUGGUGUUAAUACAAGGAGUCAAAGCAUUUCCACUCCAACCAAGAGAAAGCCUACUCCAUCUAAAACCAAUGCAAAGACCAUUUCAAGUCCUAGUGCAGAUAGAAAAGGCAAGAAAAUUGCCAGUGAGAAGUUAAGUUCACCAAUUGCAACAACUCCAGAGAGGUCUCAAACUAUACGACUCUGUUUAGGUGGGAUGAGGGUCACAAGGAGCACAAGUCAAAUUAUCGAACAGGAGAAGCAACAAGUGACUCCACCUCCACCUCCACCAAAGAAACAGAAGACCAUCCCACCUCCUACCAGAAAACAACCUCUUAGGUAUGAAUUUCAGUUAUAUCCUCUAAAUCCCUAAUUAUUAGCAGCUAAUUGUUAACUUUAUACCAUCUAAUAUUUGUCUUAUAUCCUCAGGCAAAGCAGGUCUUGACAGGUCAUGGAGGAAAAAUAUUAAAGCCAAAGAUGCAAGAAUUGCUGAGAGGAAAAAUGCCAAAGAAGAAACUAAAAAAAGAAGAUUUAUUCCAAGGCCAGAUAGUGAUGAAGAUGAGGACAUACAGGUUCAAAAGAAAGGAAAAAACACCCAAGGGGGGGCUGAGAUAGAAAAAAAGGAUGAUGGAGCAGUUGAAGGAGAAGGAAAGAAUGUUGAAGAAAAAGUUGAAGGAGAAGGAAAAAUUGAAGGAGAAGUUGAAGGAAAACUUAGUAAUGAAGGAAAAGUUGAAGGAGAAGAAAAAGUCCAAGGAGAAGGAGAAAAAAAAUGAAAGUGGAGGAAAGAUUGCAGUAGAAGCUAAUAAUGAAGGAAAUGUUAAAGGAGAAGAAAAGGUUGAAGGAGAAGGACAAAAUGAAAGUGAAGGAAAUGUUGCAGUGGAAGGUAAUACAGCACAAGAAGUUAUUGUUGCUGAUGCAAUGGCAAUAUUGGCCCAAUCAGAUAUUCUUGAUACUACCAUGGAGCAUGUGCAGGAGUUGGCCAUCCUCAAGUCUAAGAAUACUGAUGUGCAAGAUCUGAAAGAGUUGCCUACUAAAAUUCAAGAGGUAGAUGCUAAGGAGGAUGAGCAAGAUGAAGAAGAUUAUAGCUUUUAUGAUGACAUUCCAGCUCCUAAGAAUAUUCCUCAAGAAUAUUUAGUGGAAAUAGAUGGUGCAUCAGCUGGUGAGAUGGGUAAUCUUGAACACCAUGAAGAUGAUAUAGUUUUCACUGGUGAUUUAGAAGAAGAUGAAGAAGUGGAUAAGCAAGCUAUUGAUGACUUUAACAACAGCCAGAAAAGAUUGAGAAAAAAGAAUCAGGGGAAGGAAGAGGGGAAAGAAGUUGAUGCUCAGCUGAUGAUUACCAUGGGCAUGUCAUUUCUAGAUAGAACUACAACUCAUAAUGAGACAGAUGUUUUGAACUAUUACUGGUGGUUGGCGAAGGAGCCAAAUUUUGAGCAUAAAGUGAUGAGGGUUUAUGGAUAUGGACUGGAAGUCCAUGUGAAGCAGUUUUACAGCCUAUGGAACACUAAUUGGGUGCAUGGAGAUAUCAUUGAAGCCUAUGUUAGCUUGAUCAUUCGUUGGUAUGGAAUGAUGAGGAGGCAUAUCAACCCACAUAAUCAGUAUGCUAUUGUUCCAACAAUAUAUUUUGCUGUAAGUAUUUUACGCUUUUUUUUUUUAAAAGUUCUUAUACUUGAACCUUUAAGUAGAGGAUACAGUUUUGUUAUUUAGAGUUUACAUUAUGAGUAAUUUGGUGAUACAAAUAUAUUUGUUUGGUUGUGUCAGGGCAUGCUUUAUGGUGAUGUUCAAUAUACAUACAAUAGGCGUAUGAGGGAUCCAACUUUUGCUGCACUAUCACCAGCAAACAGAGUUAGGAGUGGUGCCUUCAAAAUUAAGACAGGUGCCAUAAACAUUAUGAGCCCUACUGGUCAUAUGGAGAACCAAGUUUCCCCUUACCAUGCAAAGGCUAUACUUAUUCCUUUACAAGUAAGAGUAUUGACUUUGUACCCUCUAAUAUACUUUAAGAACAUCCUCUAACAACAAAGGUAAUAUCUGCUAAAACCUAUGAUAUUUGUUAAUAAUGCAGGUCAAUGAUAACCACUGGGUGCUCUUGAGUUUCAGCUUUAAGGAAAAGAAGGUGAGAAUAUAUGACUCUUUGGGCUUGAAGAUACCAUCAAGACAACAGAUAGGGUUGGAGAAAAUGUUGCCUUAUGUGGUCUUUGCUGCUGACCCUAACAUUCCAGAUUUUGACUUGGAAUUUGCAUGGGAAAGGGAGUUUGUGAAUUGCCCAGAACAAGAUGAUGGUCACAGCUGUGGUGUUUUUUUGCUUGGUUACAUUGAUUGUAUAGUCAGGGGUAGGGAACUUGCUUUCAAGAGAAGGUCUGCUCUUAUGAGGAAACGUGUUGCUAUGGACCUUGUUCAGUGUGGAUUGAAGCCACCAAGUAAGGGUGUAUGAACAUUGUGACUAAACUUUUGUAGCAUAACAUCAUUCUUAGGUAAUAUUUCAGCAAGUCGUAUAUAUUUUUGUUAUUUACUAACUCUUGUGUAACAAUGUGAGGACAGUUAAUAAAACCAAGGAACGAUGAUUGUCGUAUUUAGUAUUUGACUUGCGUGACUAUGUUUGGACUGAUAGUAUAUAGUCUCACAUACAAUAGAAAAAAGUUCAUCAUUGCGUUCGGUAUAGUAGACCCUUACUAAAUUUACCCUUAAUGAUAAACCUCACACCUCCUGCCCAAAGAUAUUUGGGAUAUUCUUACUACCAGCAGGGUCCUCAAGGCAUUUUAUAGCAUCGACAAAACCCUGUAUUGGUGCCAUUCUCUCUCCCCAACUCCCCUGUAUUGGUCCUUCAGAACACAAAUAUUCCAUUGAUAUAACUCAAGACUUUGUGCCACCUUAUUUGGCACUAGGAGAGAUGCAUGGACACCCUUGUAUUUCAUGCAUUACACUCUAGAGAUGUAUGAACAGUGUAAAAGUGACUAAGCUUUUGUAAAACUAGAUAAGUUUAAUGUCCCGUCAAUAUUUACUUUCCCCUCAAUGUAUUUUGGUACUUUUGAGGGAUGUUCUUAAAUGGUCAUAAAGAAUAUUAGUUGGAUGGUGAAAAAAAUUAGUCAAAUGCUUGGAAUCCGCGUCUUGAUCUUCCGACUUUAUUAAAUGUUACUAGUAUAAAUCCAUGUAGAGGUUACAACUCAAACAAACCAUUCUUGAGAGCUUUUUUUUUCAAAACUAUGGCUUCUAUUUCUGUUUCUCUACUCAAGGAUGUAGAUGAAUGCUUUCUGAAGCUUCUCAAAAUAUUAGACCCUUUCCUUGGAAGUUUCAGUGAUGAUGAAGAAGAUGAUGAUGACGAAGAAGAGUCUGAUUCCUUGAAUACCUCAGCAAGUGAAGAGAAGAAAGAUGAUGAGUCUGAUUCCUUGAAUACCUCAGAUUAUGUCCAGCCCAAUCCUCUUGUUGAGUACCCUGAUGACAGCGACGUGCCUUCUUCCCAAGAAUGUGUUGCUGCAAAGGAUAAGGACAUAGCAGAGGAAGAUGAGGUGCAGAGCAGCUUUUCUGGUGAACAUGAAGAAGAAGAAGACGAAGAAGAAGAAGAAGAUUACGAUGAUGAUGAGUGAAAGUUUGCUGAAGUGUUUUCUGUUUUUUUUUUUAUGUUGUUGAAGUUUUUUUUUUCUUGUCUUGUAUGGAUGUACAAACCCUUUUCCUUUCCCUUCCCUUAUGCAAAUUAUGAAAGUAUUAUUAUAUUACAUGUUCUGUUCGUCCAAUAUUUAGUAUACGUUAGAGGAUACAUAAUUACUAGUUAGAGAUACUAAUCAUCACCAUUAGAGGAUACAUAUGUGAUAUCUGGAAGAUAAGCGAAGAAACAUACAAAAUAAAACCCAACCUACAAAAUGUGCCAUAUACAGGCAAACAUAGAAAAAAAUGGUCAAAGUCUGGUACAACUUCCAAAACACUCCCAACACUUAAUAGGAAUCAGUUGGUCAAAAAAUAUUCAAAGUGUGGUACACCUUGAGCUUCUUCACUCUUGUAAUGUUGGAUGUACAAAUGAUUUUCAUUAAUACAACAAGUUAGUAUACAUUAGAUGGUAACGUUUCACUCGUUGGAGGAUAUUAAUCUUUCAACUAGCGGAUACAUAUUUGCCAUAUAAAAGGCAAACAUAAAACAAAAUGGUCAAAAUCUGGUACACCUUCCAAAGGCAUAACUUAGAUAAAAAAACACCCAACACUUAAUAGGAAUCAGGUGGUCCAUCAGGUAAAGGUUGGAAAAAAUAGUCAAAGUCUGGUACAACUUCAAUACAUGUUGAUUUGUUGUGUCCUAUACCCCUACACCUUGAACAUCUUCUCUCCUGUACUGGGAUACCUUCAAGUUUGCCUCUCCUUCUCUUUUUCUUUGGACGUCCAGGCAUAACACAUGGUAGUGGUGGAAGAAUCUUUCUGCCUACUCUAUCCUUUGGCCAUUCAUCCUUUCCUCUUGUGGGUCUCCAAUUUUCUUUGUAGGUCUCCAUAUAUGUCUCCCUUCUGUAGUACACACCACAAAAUGUGUAUGGAUCCAUUUGACAUUCUCUAAUGACAGACAUUGCGUGCUCACAGGGUAUUCCCAUAGUUUGCCACCAUUUGCAUGUACAUUCUCUUGCAUUCAAGUCCACCACACAUGUCCUGCUCUCACCAUAAACUGUCCAAAUAGUUGGAGAUGUCUUCUCACGAGUGAAGGUUCUACCUCUCCAAGCAUUAUGCAAAAUUUGUUCGUGGCACCACUUAGUUACAGGUGUCUUGAAUUUCUCACCAUCAACACGAUAAUCUCUGUGAUGCCUCAUGAUGUUGGCAUGAAUUCCUUCGACCAGAUUUGUAGCAGGAAGCAUUCUUUCUGGUAUAAUCAUUCUAUUCCACGACUCCACAUGAUUAGUGUAAAUAAUUCCAUAUCUGCUUAAGAAGAGGAGACAGAUAUACAAUUAACCGGUAUGAUAACUAUACUUAGACGGUAGAAUGACUACUAGUAGAGGAUAUUGAAAUGCAUAGAUACCGACCUGGGUUUCUCCUGAAACGCACUAGCCCACUUAUUUAGUGGUCCAAUUGCCAUUAGGUUGUGGUAUGCCUUUGGAGAUAUGGCCCAUAUUUGCAGCAUCAAACCCCAGAACUCAUUUUGAUUGAGUGUCUUGGCAGCCUCUUUAAGCAACCACCUUACUUUUGCAUUCCCAUAUUUAAGGGACAUGUGUUGGGCACAAUACAUAUGACAAGCCUUGGGCAAAAUCUUUGGUACAGCUUGAAUAAUACUUUUGUGCCUAUCUGAAAGAAGCACAAACUCGUGGUCAGUCCCAACCACAUGGUCCCUAAGUUUUUCAAGAAACCAUUCCCAAUACUCAUUGUUUUCUUUUUGCACAAGGGCAAAAGCAAUAGGGAACACAUGAUUAUUUCCUUCAAUUCCAAUUGCUGAUAGUACAACUCCAGGAUAUCUCCCUUUCAGAAAUGUUCCAUCUAUAAUGAUUACCGAUCUUAAUGUGUUUCUGUAAGCUCUCACAGUUAUACCAUAUGACCAGAACAUACAUUGGAAUUCAUCACCAGGGCCUGUGAUAAUAUCAGUCUGAGAAUCUGGAUCGACCAACUUAAGUUCAUUACAGUAUGUUUCAAGUUGUUGAUAUGACUCACUGAAGCUUCCCCUUAACUACAAGUGGAGGAUAAAAAUGACUAAUUAGAGGAGAUGAUAAAAGUAAGUAGCCGAGAUAUAUGAAUGAACUAGAGGAUAAGAUAGGAAGGUGCAAUUUUAAAUAGAACAAUACCUUGGCCAAUGCCUUUUCUUUAGCUCUCCAAGCAACUUUGUACGAAAUCUGGGUAAGAUAUUCCUCCUCAAUUUGGCUUUUUAGUUGUUUGGAUGUAAGAUCUUCAUUAUCCCGUAAUUUUCUCGCAAUUUUAGAUGCAACCCAAUCACUAUCAGCUUGACGAUUUUUUGAUCCAAGUCUGAACUUCCCACAUGUGUGACGCUAAGCAAUGCAUCUUAUUUGCCAAGUACCAUUCAAAUUUGGUGUAGCACGAACAUACCAUGGGCAAGUUGGAACUUUACAUUUCCAAUACACCCUUUUCAUCUCAGUUUUAUACUUAUUCAGGUCAAACUCCUCAUCGAUUGCAUAAGAUUUCAUGUCUCUCAUAAAAUCAUCCCGACACAAAUAUAUCUGCCCAAUCUUAGGGAACAAGUACUUAUUGUGUAAAGGUUCAGUGUGUGGAGCACAACCUCUAUUGAUCCGACGAAGAUUUGCGUAUAUAUUAUGUAGUUCUUGUUUGAUUUCAUCAUCUUCAUCUCGAUUGUUCUGAGAUGGGUAAUGCCUUUGACGUCGUACACUAUCUUCAUCCCGAUUGUUCUGCUGUUGUGGAGGAUUUGUCUGAUUUUGAACAUUGUCUUGUUAUUGUGGAUCAUUUGUUUGACUUACGAAAUUACCCUCCUCAUGUUGAGCAUUGUCAUGGCUUGGAAAAUGUUCUGGAACUUGUCCAUGACUUGGUAUAUUGCUCUCAUGUUGGGAAGCAUUGUUGUCGCUACAUGCAUGUCUGUAUCUAUCCUCUAAGUUGCAUCUAACAUUGGCUAAACGUGUAGACGUACCUGCUACAUCUAAGGGGUUUUCUUUUCCACCAUAAAACCUUGACAGGGGUGUAGGGCCUUCUUCCUGGCUAUCUGAAUGUUGUGAACCAAACAUAGGCGCAGAAUCAUCAUACAUCUAAUCUUCCAAUUCAUCCUCUGUGGUCCAAAUGAUUGGUGAAUCAUGCACAUCCAGUAGAGAUUCUGUAUAAGUUGCAUCGCUAUCGUCGUCGGCUAUCGAACAAUCUUUACCUUCAUCUUGUGGUUGCUCUUCACCUGCCCAUUGAGCUUGAUCUUUUAGUUGUGUUUGUUGCAGUGCAUUAUAUUCUUCAAUUUCCUCGGAGAAUCCUUUCCAAAAUCCAUCAUUAUUACACAUCUCAGAAAGAAUUGCCGCUGCAGCACACUCUUUAGCGGAUAAAUUGGGAGAAUUAGAGGAUAUAUCCCCGGCAUUAGAGGAUAUGUCAUGAGAACUGUACCCAACUUUAUUAUCAGCUCCAAUUUGCACAACAUUAGCCACCAAUGGAGAUUCAAUUCUAGAUGAAACUCUAGAAGGAGCAGGAGGGGAAGUUGUUAUAACAGCUUGGGGAUAAGUCCCAGGUGGGGUAUCCAAUACAAGAGGUUGUUGUUCAUUCCCAUACCCCUUUGAGAAGAUAACAUGGCUCUUCUGUGCUGAUGCAGGGUCUAGGAGAUAUUGGGAAGAAAUACAACCUUGCUUUACAGGUGUGGAAAAAUCUGAAUAAUCAGGUUGAUUACCCCAAUCUGUUGGAGGGGUAGGUUCUGGGAAAAGGUUUUUUUUCAAUCCAGUUUUUCCUUUACCUUUUUCUUCCUCAAUUACUUUCUCCUUUCCUUUCACAUUUUUUUGUGUUUUGGAGCUUGAUUCCCCAUUCAUUGAUUUCAAAUCUCCUACUAUCCAAACAGACAUGACGUAUAAGUUCUUGGCAGCAACAAUCCCCAAUAUCAAUUGAUCAUAGUCAUAUUGAGCAGGGAUGCUGCGUGGACUGUCAUUGACGACAGCUUGAAUUAAAAAAUUGUGUCUUUGUGUAUGAGUCAUAUCUUCAACCAUCUCCAUAAACUCUUCAUAUGGUGCCUUCAACUCCAAAACUGUUAUUUUUGUGUCACCAUUCUUGUAUGAUAACAAUCCAUCUGCAUUAGUCUCAACCUGACCACCAUAGCGAAACACAACAUUGAUAGUGCUACCUGAAACCACAAUUUCAUGCAAAGUAUUAAAACAUAUCGGCUAAACGUAACUAACAAGUCGGUUAGUAUACUUUUAUUUAGCCUCUAAUUGAAUAUAAGUUAUAGUUUACUUUUAAAACAGAGUGACAUUGACCUCAGAUGUGCACCAGUAAACUGAUAAUGAACAACAAUCAAAAUCACAGCACCAUUUAUGUUAGCUUGUCUCUAAAUUAUGAGGAUGUGAGUUUGCUAAAGAUACAACUUUUAUGAGGUUGGGAUUUCAUAAAAACACAAUCUUUAUCAAAGAUUCCAUCUUUAUGAAGGUUAGGGUUCAUAAAGAUGGUAUCUUUAUAAAGAUUCUAUCUUUUCAUGAGAUACCAUCUUUAAAUCGCCAACACCUUCACCAGAUUUUUGUCAUAAAACAGAACAAAACGUAUGUUAAAAUGCUUACACAAAUCAACGACACCUACUGCAUUCAAAGCCAAACAACAACACCUACUUUAUUGUCCAAACAUUGAAAUCUGCAAAUUUAAGAACAUUUAAAGCUUACUUACCUAAUUUACUGUUCAUCUGGACUUCAUUUGCAAUUAGAGCUUUCGAUUUUGCCUUUUUCUUUGGUGGCAUUUUGGGUGUGAAGAAGUACAAUGUUUGUGUGUUUAAGGUUGGGGAGAAGAAUAGUGUAGAAGAAGGUGCAGAACAAAGGGAGAACAAAGGGAGAACAAACAAUGUUAAGGUUCAGAGAAAAAUCGAAAAAGUAGAAGAAGAGAAGAGAUGAAGAUGACGUGGUUGUAUGUGCAGUACAUUAAUUAGAAAAUCCAACGGUAGGGAUCUAUUGUUUCCAAUCCAACGGCUAAGUUUGAUUUAAUGUCCUUAUCUAAAACUUAAAUGCAAUAAAGGAAUCUUUUCUUUUCAACCAAAAAGUUGAUUUGAUGGAGACAAGAGCAACAGAUGUACAGAAGGGUAUAAUUGUAAAGAAAAAGUAGGCAAGUGGGGUAAGGUGGCUAUUUGGGAAGAUUAGCUCUCAUUGGUGGCUAUAUGGGAAGAGACACCUAAAGGUGGUGGUUUUUUGAGAAAUUUCCCAUGUUUCUUUUGACGAAACAUUUGGUAUAACCGAACUAUCAUCAUUUGGUAUAUGACGACAUACUUAUUUUUUUUUAGUUUUUUUUUUUUUGACCACAUACAUAGAUUGAAAAUCUCCCUCUAAAACAAUAAAUAUUAAUUUAUCGAUAAAGUAAUAUAUUAUUCAUUUAUCGAUAAAUAAAUAAUCUCACUAAAGUAAUAUAUUUUUUCGGUCCCAAGGGUAUGCAUUUAUCGAAGUUUUAUUAUAGUUCAAAAUGCCAUGGAAUUUCUUCUCUUCGUAUUUUUUUUUCUUCAAGAAUCGGAUCAGAAUAAUGACUAUUUGGACACUCAAGAUCCAAUAUGCUCGGAUUUUUAAUAACUAUUAUUGAAUACAAAAUUAAACAAUAACAGUAAAUAAAGAUGAAUAAAUCCAAGAUAUUGAAGAAAUUCUCUUUUUUAUUGAAUAUUAUAAAGAUCGCAAGAAUCGCUACUUCAUAAUACUCUCUAGUCUACACAAAGUAAAUCCUAACUGCCUAUCUUAUGUUACGAUUUUAUAGACUUUGGACAACUUUCAAGUUAAUGUUGUCUCGAAUGCUUCAUGGGUCUUGAGCCCAGAUCCUAACUGUUCUAUCAUUAUUAAGUCCCGCAGAAGCAAUUUUGUUCUCCGUGGGGUGACAUGAUACAGAGAUGACAGUAUCAGUGUGGCCUUCCAGUUUCUGAACCAUAUUUUUCAACUGCAAAUCCCAUAUGUAGACGCAAUGAUCCUCUGACCCACUAACAAUAUACUUCCCAUUAGUCACAGAAAAUGUGGAUGUUAUACAGUACACUUUGUUGACAUGGCCUGUGUAAAUUUUCAAAAACUUCCCUGUUGAGUAAUUCCACAGCUUCUGCAAGUAUAAGAAAGAAGGGAAAAAUGAAACAAAAUCUUAAAACAUAGUACAAAUGCCAAGAAACGAGUGCAUAAAAAUAGAACCGAAUACUGAAGAACACAGAUCCAAAUCACUAAUUAACACAAAGUCUCUACAUGACUUAAACUAUUAUACAUUGUAAAAUGGUAUAUAACCAGCAGUUCAAAACUAUGAAGCAAUAUGGAACAAACGAUCAUGUAAAGUGAUGGAUCUACACCCGCAAGACAUAAAAAGAAGGGUCUCUAGCAGAACACUGAGAAGGUCAGAAGCAGUAAUCUAGUCAUCCUAUCACCAACAACAUUUUCCCCACAAUCAAAGAAUGUCCAUAGCAAAAGGUAUUCAAGGACCAAGUAGUAUGUUCUUCAAAACCCCAACAGCCUUAGCAAUUAGGUUUCAGUGUUGGAGUGUCAAAACAUUUAGAUGAAUGUACUCUCUACAUCUCAAGCACAUAAAAAUUUAAGAGUGAAUGAUUUGUCUCAAGAGUCAUUUCAUUAUUGGGGGGAAGUAAACUUAUUUACUUCUCUAGCCAAAUUUUCAAUAAUAAGGUCCCUCUUAUAAACUAAUUUGACAACUGUCAACACUAACCUAACAAAAACAUACAACUCCUUUAAAUUAAAACCCACCAAACUACUUGGUUUUUUCAUAAGAAAACUUCCAUAAACAUAUUUAUCAAACUAGGCUACUCCAUCAAACUAUUUAAUUUAUCACUUGAAAUUCCUCACUAUCCAUUUGUUCUAAUUAUCUAAUUUCUCAAUUAUAUAUAUUCCACAAACCUAUUCAAAUUUUCUAGUUUCUACUUAUGUUCAAUCCUUCAAUCAAUAUUUCCCAUAUAUACUUCUCCAUAGCCUAUAACUCCCACUAUCCAUUGUUGUUCAGACUCAUUACAUAAUAAUUUAAUCGAAUGGAAUCCAUCACACAUAAAAGAUAAUUGUUUGUUUUAAACAUUUACUAGACUUUAAUGCAACGAUUGAUGCGAAAAAAAACUUACCAAAGUAUCAUCCAAAGUUGCAACAAGAAUAAACUUCCCAUUAGGCGAAAACUUAGCAAAAGAAACAGCAGGUCCAUUCUUUUCAUCAAUUAAAGUUUUCAAACAAGCACCAGUAGCAGCAUCCCAAAUCUUACAACUUCCAUCAUGACUACUUGAAACAAUAAUAGAACCAUCUCGAAUAAAAUGUACUGAAGUAACUGGCAUAUUAUGACCUUGUAUUACAUGUAAUGAUUUCCCAGUCUUAACAUCCCAAACUCUAAUACUUUCAUCAAAUGAACCAGAUACAAUUAAAUUAGAUUGUGGAUUAAAAUUAACACAAAAUACAUAACCACUAUGACCACGAAGAGUUUUAAAAGAUUCACCAGAUCGUGCAUCCCAAAUACGAAGCGUACGAUCAUCAGAAGCAGAGCAGAUAUAAUGUGAAUCAGAUGACCAUGCAAGAUCAGAAACACCAGCAGAAUGACCCUUGAGAUGAGAUAAUGGUGUAAAAGUUUGAGUUGAGUAAACAAUUAGGGUUUUAUCAAGAGAAGCUGAUGCUAAGAGUGUGCCGUCGUUGGAGUAACGAACACAUGAGACGGCGGAGGUAUGGGUUGUUAGGGUUUUAAGGAGGCGGUAUGGACGAUAUGGUGGUGAUGGUGGUGGUUGGCUUCCGCCUCUGCUCGACAUCUACACGGUGAGGAGAGAGAAAGUAGUUGUGGUUAUUGGGCUAAAGGUUUUACUUAAACUGGGUUAUAUUGGGCUUAGGUGGAUUAUUAUUGAUCCACAAAACCCAGUAUCUUUUGUUUUGAUUUUUUUGGAGUUUUAUUGGGCUGAAACAUAGAUUUAAGGCCCAUAAAGAUACUCUUGAUAUCAUACAGUAAAACCUCAAUAAAUGAAUGUUCGAUAAAGUAAUAACCUCGCUUAGAUAAUAAUUUCUUCCGGUCCCGACUUGGGCAUGUGUACUAAAGUAAUAUCCUCGCUAAAUGCAUUAAGUAAUAAAAAAAUUUGAAUCCUUAAAGGCCUAAAAAAAAUAUAUAAAGUAAUAAUUACUAAAUUUCAUACAAAAAUUUAUGUAUAUAAUCUACAUACUCUUGAACUUUUAUUUAUAAAUUUUUUUUUUUUUUUUUGGAAAUAUGCAUCUAAAGUUUUGUUUUUUUUUUUUGGUACCCAAACCAAAUUCCCAUCCUUAACUUUUUGUAGAGCAUACAUAACUUCUAAAAUAUUUUGCUCAUAUUGUAGCAAAUAGUUAUAUAAUGUGAUUAUUAAUUGAAAUGUUUCUUUUGACGAAACAUUUGGUAUAACCGAACUAUCAUCAUUUGGUAUAUGACGACAUACUUAUUUUUUUUUAGUUUUUUUUUCUUUGACCACAUACAUAGAUUGAAAAUCUCCCUCUAAAACAAUAAAUAUUAAUUUAUCGAUAAAAUAAUAUAUUAUUCAUUUAUCGCUAAAUAAAUAAUCUCACUAAAGUAAUAUAUUUUUUCGGUCCCAAGGGUAUGCAUUUAUCGAAGUUUUAUUAUAGUUCAAAAUGCCAUGGAAUUUCUUCUCUUCGUAUUUUUUUUUCUUCAAACAGAAUAAUGACUAUUUGGACACUCAAGAUCCAAUAUGCUCGGAUUUUUAAUAACUAUUAUUGAAUACAAAAUUAAACAAUAACAGUAAAUAAAGAUGAACAAAUCCAAGAUAUUGAAGAAAUUCUUUUUUUUAUUGAAUAUUAUAAAGAUCGCAAGAAUCUCUACUUCAUAAUACUCUCUAGUCUACGCAAAAUAAAUCCUAACUGCCUAUCUUAUGUUACGAUUUUAUAGACUUUGGACAACUUUGAAUUGUACAAAGAAAUCUAUUUCCUAUUCACCCGGAAUAAGAAAAUCUGUCUCUAGAACCUUCCAAAAUUCCAAAGAUCUUUUAGAACAUUGCCCUGAAGGACUGAAGGUGUUGCCUUUCGAAUCCGCAGUAGAAUAGCAAAAUGUCUAUCCCCAAAAUAUUAAUCUCGUUGAUCACUAACUUCCGAAUAGAAUACAUGCACUUGUAUCACUUUCCACUAGGGUUGGCAGAUGGGUCGUGUCGGGUCGUAUGCGUGUCGGGUCGAUGUCGGGUUUCAGGUCAAAACAGGUCAACCCAUAUAUGACCCGGUUGGUAAACAGAUCAACUCAAACACGACUCUGUUUGACACUGUUUGCUUAGAGGGUUAUUAACUCGACACGGUUAACACGCUUUUGAAAAAAAACAAAUUAAUAAUAAUACUAAAGUAAACCAUGUUUAACAGAAAAACAACAUAUUACUCAAUUUAUUAAAACCUAAGAAAAUAAGGGUUUCAUGUUAAAAACCGUAACUUUGAACAAAAGGUCAAACAAUUUUAGCAAAUUUCUGCCAUUUUUUUCAUUAUUUGUUGUUUAUCUUUCUCUUUAUCACCAUCCAGAUGUGUUGAUAAUUGUGUACGGAGACAAACUACAUCAACUCAAUUCGAAAGCGAUUUACAAAAAACUCUAAUUUUUUUCCAUUUUUAAAUUUCUUAAAUUCCAAUCUCAAUUUCAUCAAUUUUGCACAAAUUCUCAUUCUCUUUAAUGGCUACAGAUGCUUCUUCUUCACCCAAGUUUCAAAAACCCGAUUUCCGACGAACCCCACAACCCAAUUUUAAUCUUGAAAUCACUACUACUACUUUUUUUGCUUUGUUGUUAUUAGAUCUAAUAAAGAAGAAGAAGAACAGAUUUGUUGUUGUUGUUAUUAGAUCUGAAGAAGAAGAACAACUUUGUUGUUUGAAGAAGAACAGUGGUGGAAUGGAAUACAAAGACAAUCGUGUCAAAACGGGUUAUUUUUGGGUUUGAGGGUUGGACACAUACACAACCCACUUAGCAAAUAAACUUAAUGGGUCAGACACGUUAACGACACGAAACAGAUAGGUGUCAACCCAAACACGCAAAAAACGGGUCGUGUUUAUGGAUCCCGUAUCUGCCCAAUCAGAUACUACUACUAUUUUUUUUUUUUUUUUUUUUUAAUGGAAGAUAACUCAUAAUACUACCUUACGUCCUUACCCACUUUAACCCUUAAUACUAAUUAUUACACAAGUUAAUUGGAAACACAACUUUAUAAUUACACUUGAUAGAUCAUGGGUUGGGAACAGAGCAAAUCAAUAUCAUAUCUUUUUUUUCCAGAACAAAGAAGUGGGUGACUCCAUCAUAAGUCAUAACCCCACAAAAACCCUAAAAGAAGAUAAGUUUGCUUCAUUACCUCCUCCCUUCAUUCAUGCUUGGCGUGCAUGAAUGAAUCCAAUACAAAACAGACCCAAUACAAACAUGUGUGCUGUGUGCACUACAGCCCCCACACUCACACUACUACCUACAUCAUCCUGAUGAAAUACUUACAUCACAAUGUAACUACACCAGAGAAUUUUAUGUGUAGCUUACUUGCAUGCGGGUGUUUACAUCCGAAUCACAAAAUCCAUGUGGCAGUAAUAAUAUAACCUAGUAUGGGUUUAGUUAACCCUAGUGGACUGAUCAGUUUUUCAACCAUUUUAUAGACAUGUUGCAUCACAUGAUUGGGUGUACACACCCACAUACAAGUUGGCUACACGUAUAAAUUUUUUUGUCUAGAUCCCAAUUAAGUUACUAAUGGACCCAUAUAUUUAUGACACGUGUACAUCAAGAUGGGGUCCAGAGAUUUUUCAUUGAGCUGAGGUUAAGAUAUUUUUAGCUAGGGUGUUGGGAAAUAGAUGAUUGUAGUGGUAAGGUAAGAGUAGUGAACUAGUGAUGAUGAAUGGUGCUGGCAUAUAUAGCACGCUGUUAAUUUUUGAGUAAGAAAGAAUAUGAUGAUUAUAUCCAUAGCACGCCCACUUCUCAUUGAUUCUAUGCACCACACUCUCUAAAACCAAGACAAACAAGAAAACCUAAUGGAACAUAUUCCAUGUUUUUGGUAUUUCUACAUCCAUUCCAUCAUCAUCUUUUCUCAUACAUAUCAAGUAAUAUGGAAAAGCAAUAUCAUAUCAAACCCACGCGGGCAAAUCAACCUUAGAAAACGCACUUUGUCUACAAGGGUUUCCAAAAUCCAUGCAGUUAUUCAUUCUCUUUUUCUCUACUUUCCCCAACUUGAUAUCCUACAUCAAUUAUGAUUUUGGUUUACAACUACACACCAAAAUCAUAACUUACUGAUCAUUUUCGAUUUCUAUGUCAUUCAUUCUCUCUCACCAAACUUCCAUAUAACGCACUACUUCACCUUCUUUUCCUUACAACAAAUCCAUUACUACUAGUUUUUUUCCUUGUUUAAUUCUCUCUAGUCCCUAGUGUACUACGUUACCAAAGUUAUCCUAAGGUUCUUUUUUCUAUCUUUCAAGCUAAUUAAGAAGAUGGGUAGCAAUGGAAAUGGAGUUCAUGGGAAUGGUGUUAAUGGUCAUGGAAUUAAUGGGAAUGGUAAUGGUCAUUUACCUAUUGAAGGUCGUAGGAAGAGCUGUUGGUAUGAAGAAGAGAUUGAAGAUAACUUGAGAUGGUGUUUUGCUCUCAAUAGGUAUAUAUAUAAAUCUUUAUACAAUUAAUUUGAUUUUCAAUUUAUCAUGUCCUUGUUCAGAUGUUGAUCCUCUUCAUACUGCCAUUGUCUAUUUUCUUAGAUAUCGAUCGUUCUUCACCAAUGGUAAUGUUUUGGACUCGUUACAAUACGUAAUUUGCUUAAUUUGUUCUAUUGAGUUAUGGUUAUGUAGUACAGUAUAAAUGAAAAUUUUCAAAGGUGGUGUUAAGGACUAAAUCUGUAGAAGCAUCAACAAGGUAGAUUAGUGGGAACAUUCUGCUAUAAGUAAAUUAUAUAUUAUUAUUAUUAUAUAGUUAUGUUCUUCUUUGGUCAUCAAAAGCUAGACAAGAUUAAAGUAAUGGAAGAUAAUUAGUUUGGGUAAUACCCACUUAAAGAACAUACUCAUUUCAUACUUUUGAAAUCUUAAUAAAGUUAAACUAAUUUCUCUAUUCACAGCAUAUUGCAUACAGGGUCUAGUCAGUAUCAGGACAUUGCUUUGUUGGACACAAAGCCCUUUGGAAAGGUUUGUUCAUAUCUUCCUUAAAAGCUAUAUAAAAAGUUAAAAGCUCUUUAGUCUCUCACUUUCAAUGAUUUUCUACUUUUCCAUACAAUGCAAGCAGGCUCUGGUCAUUGAUGGAAAGCUUCAAAGUGCAGAGACAGAUGAAUUCAUUUACCAUGAAUGUCUUGUUCAUCCAGCUCUUCUUCAACAUCCCAAGUAUAUCAUUCAUUUACUUUAUGAUUGUUGUUCUACCUUAUCUUCUAUGGAAAUGAGACAUUAAUUUUUAUCUUUGUAUUUCUUUAGCCCAAAGACUGUUUUUAUUAUGGGAGGAGGUGAAGGUUCCACUGCAAGAGAGAUUCUAAGGCACAAAACUGUAGACAAAGUGGUAAUGUGUGAUAUUGAUGAGGUGAGGAAAGGAUUUUCAGUGUGGAGCAACUUCUAAGAUCUUAAACUUUUGCUGUCUGACAAUAUUGACAUGCAUAUUGUGUUGGAUGGUUGUAUGCAUGGAUCAGGAAGUAGUGGAUUUCUGCAAGUCUCACUUGGAUGUGAAUAAGGAAGCCUUCAGCAGUUCAAGGCUUCAACUUAUCAUUAAUGAUGCCAGGGCUGAGCUUGAGAAAAGCAAAGAAUGUUUUGAUGUUAUAAUAGGAGAUUUGGCUGACCCUAUUGAAGGUGGCCCCUGCUACCAACUUUACACCAAAUCCUUUUAUGAGUCCACUGUCAAGCCUAGACUCAGUGAAGGUGGCAUAUUUGUUACACAGGUAAUGUUCAGAUACUCAAUGAGAUGUGAUUUCGAGCUAUGUUUUAGUCAGAUUAUUUUGUAGAAGUCUCCCAAAAGAUCGUAACUCCAUGGAUCCUAACACAGAUUAAUGUAUUUAUGUUUUGCAGGCAGGACCAGCAGGAGUGUUUAGCCAUACAGAGGUGUUUUCAUGCAUCAAUAAUACCCUAAGGCAAGUUUUCAAAUGUAAGUAACACAAAGGAUCCAUACCUUUUUAUCUCUUUUUACUUCUUCUACACAAGUCUACUUGGUAGAGUUAAAAUCUUAAAACAAGUUUACUAUGUGCAGAUGUUGUGCCUUAUUCAGCCCACAUUCCUUCUUAUGCUGAUACUUGGGGAUGGGUCAUGGUAAGUGAAUCGAAAUCUCCCUUGUCAUUCUCAUCAUUGUACUCAACUGUGAGCUAUAAUUUACAUUUUUACGACAUAUCACAGGCUUCAGAUGCCCCAUUCACAGCAGACGCCGAAGAAUUAGAUAUCAGAACCAAACAGAGAAUUAAAGGAGAAAACAGAUAUCUUGAUGGAAAGACAUUUGCAUCCGCAUCCACCUUAUGCAAAGCUGUCCGAAAAUCGUAAGCAUAUUGACAUAUUGAAUUUAAUAUCUGUAGUGAUCUUAUCGUUUUUUAUAUGGACAAUUUCGUUACAUAACUUUAUAUUUUUCCUCUAAUAGGCUGGCUAAGGAGACACAAGUGUACACAGAAGGAACGGCAAGGUUCAUCUACGGCCAUGGUGCAGUUCACAAGUAAAUGACGAGGAGAAGGGAGCUCUUAUUGAAGCACAGAGAGAAAAUAGUAUUCGAACAUAAAUAUCUUUUUCGUAAAUUUUUCCCUCUGUUAUGUUUGGAAGAAAAGCUAGCUCUUCGUGAUUAUUUGUGUUUCCUCUUCUCUUGUACAAGUGUUGGGAUUUCAUGGUUUUACCCUUAAAUUUUUUCUGUUUAACUACUAAAUUAAAUAUGGAUGUUUUACUUGGAAAUUCAAGGUUUUUUUUCUUCCUAAUUCUAUCCUUCCAAGUCAUUCUUUCCAAGUAAUGAAAAUAUGGAUGUUUUCAUAUUACUUGGAAGGAUAGAAUUAUUCAGAGAAAAUCCUUCACAUGUUAACCAAAUUAUAUGUCCAAGUUGUAUAUCGCAUGAUCUCUGUUAUCAAGGUGAGGAGCAAAAACAACAGAGCAACUUAUUUGAACAGGUUCCAGUCUCUGUUUUUCAAAAAUCUCGAUGUACAUUGGGCACAUUGUAAUUACUUGGUGAACUUUGCAACCAACACUCAGCAUUCACAGUCAUGAAUUCACAGUAAUUCUUUGAAAUCCAACUACUAUUUACUAACUUGUUACAUAAUUGGGGAAGGAGUCACUGGCGUGGGCUGACUAAAGCAGCUACUGUGAUGAUGCAGAAUACUCUAUUCUUAGUAUUGAUACCAUAAGUGGGGGAGGCUGGAUGCAAUUCUUGAUUCACAAUAAAUAAAAUUCUUUUAUCAGCAUGUAAUCAUAUAUUUUAUCGAGAAAAAAAAAAAAAAAAAAACAAACCUAUAACUAAAAAUUUGACUACAAAAUGUACUCCUAAAACUUGGAACAUAUGUAUAUUUGUUUUAUUCCAAAUAUCCUCAAUUUAUCCAUAAAACCUCAAAACGAUGAGGUGCAGGAUUUGCAAUGUAUAUUAAGGAUGCAGCUGCUGUUCUCUUAUAGUGCAUAUCUUUGCAAUAUUACAUCAAAAUCAUCCACCAGGGAAAGAACACCAAAGCAGGCUCAGACAAAAAGAAUCAAGCAACAGAUGAUGUUCAGAAGUUGUGCAUGUAAAAAAAAGGCCACAUACAAAACCUUCUCCUUAUUCUCAAUGCAAUACAUAUGUAAAUUACUUUCAGACAGUCUACUUAUAAGGAUAACCCCAACAAUGAUCAUUAUUAACAGGUCAUCGUUCCAAGGUCCAAAUAGACGUGCUUCAGAAUAUUUGCCCCUUUGGAUACUUAUGGUUAUAAAACAAAAAAUUGCCCAAGACUGAACUGAUCAUUUUAAUGAUCACCCUUAAAAACAUGUGAAAAUGAAACACUUGUGAUCGGAUUUCAAUUACUUGGUAAAACUUUGCAACCAAAUGAAUUGCUGUGUCACCAAUCACAACCUGAUUCCAUCUGUUUCAAAAAAGUGUUUGACCCUGAUAGAAAAAUAAAGGAACCAUUAAUCUCUGUCGAAGGCAACAAAGAUACAUUAUGUGAAAUAAGCAUCAAAGUCCCAAUCAACAAUUUUACACAGAGAGAAAAAGGGCAUACUUAGUCACUAGAAGAAACUCCACUUGCAUUACCAUCCCAAGCAUCUCCAUUA